GUUUUUCUUUAUACAAUCGCAGAUGUUCAUAGCUCACGUAUACACGUACAUACACUCACCUAUAUAAACAUACACACGCAUCCUAUAUCUAGAGGGCCUCCAAGAUAUUGAGUUAGCACAACAUUUGAGAUUGACGAAGUUAUCAGAGACGUUUCAUGGUAGAUGGAAACAUCUUCUUUCACUGAACGAACAUCGCCAUGUGACAUUUAUCGUAAGCAGUUCAAACUUAUUAAGGAAAGAGUUGAAUAAAAAUAGAAAAUUUUGAGCAUUGGUGACAAGUCUAACUGGUGGUCUGAUUCCACCACAAGUAACCUAACUAUUUUACCUAUGCUCAAAUCGCUACUUAAGUUAGCAUAAUAUAUUCUAUAGUGAAUAUGUACAAAUCAUCCAUUGUUGUAUCUUGUUGUGGCAUCUAACUGACUCACCUGUUCAUAGAAGGACACACAGAAUAAUAAUAAAAAGUGAAUUCCGGUUUUUACCUUCUAUUUUAACAUUUUUGACACUACUUACCCGAUUUAACGGGAUUUCAUCCGUUUUAACCCACUUAUCAAAAAUGUUCCCAAAAUUUACCUUGCAUAAAAUUUUGUGAGCGUUUUGACCGAUGGGUCUCAAUUGUAAAGUUCAACUGGCAUGUCACAUCAGUGGGGUUUUUCUCAUGGUUUUUCUGCACGUCGAACCACAUCGCCUGCCAUCUCCUGACCGGUCAGGCUCGAUAUGAUUCCAACAGAGCAGCUCCCCGGAUGGCCAAGUCGCCCAGGUCGGGCCACACCACACCAUCCUCCGUUGUUCACUACACGCAUCGCUCGCAUUCCAAUCACACGCAAGAUCCCGCCAUAGUUUGGCCAAAAAUUGAUGUCUCAUUUGCUAGGAGGGGAAGGACGAGGUAGGGGACGAGCGGCAGGCAAAACUUCAAGGCAUGGCUAUUGGCAAUCAUCGGAGCCAAUACGACAAUCUUCUCCCCUCCCAUGCAUGGCUCCAUCCUCUCCAGCUCAACCCAGGUGGUUAUGUUUUUAUGGCUAGAUUUUCUCUCUGUCCGAGAUGCAUAUUUGAUAGGUUUAGGCUCCUUGUUUCCGGUUCGAAGAAGUAUGGUGAUGAAAUGACCUUACUUCAUAAGUAUGGCAUGAUCCCAUUGAAUAAAUUGUAGGAGAAAUUGUUACUGAUAUAAUCAUGUAUGUUUUUCUACAACAUUGUCAUGUACGGCCCUAAGUAUGCAUGAUUAUGUGGAUGAGAUUAAAACUGGUGUGUAAAUAUACUACUUCGCUUACUUUGAUGUACGUACGUAUCUAAAUACCUAGUCAAGUAGCGAAUGUGUUGACCUGUAGUGAGUCGGUAUAUAUUUCCCAAGCUACUCUGUGCAAUCAUAUCGUGUCUGAACGAUCAGGAAAAUUUAUGGCGAUGUGGUUCGGUAUGUAGAAAAAACAUCACAAAAACCCCGUCGAUGUGGCAUAUGCCAGCUGGACCGUACAAUUGGGACCUAUCGGUNNNNNNNNNNAGGGUAAAACGGAUGGAACCCGCUUAAUGAGGUAAUUAGGGUCAAACAUAUCAAAACAGGGGUAAAAACCGGAAUUCACUCUAAUAAAAAAUUGGUCAAGUUGUGUUAACNNNNNNNNNNCAGAACAUUUAUAAAAUCUUAAACAGGGUAAAUUGUGACGACACAUUUGUUAAAUGGGAUAAAACGGAUGGAACCCGUUUAAUGAGGUAAUUAGGGUCAAACAUAUCAAAACAGGGAUAAAAACCGGAAUUCACUCUAAUAAAAAAUUGGUCAAGUUGUGUUAACUCGGCCUGUGAUAUAUGGCAACUUAUUGUGUAGUAUGUACGCAAGUAUGCAAGAUUGAAUGAAUCAUGAUACAAUCAACGUAUUUUGGCAUUCACUUGCUACAUCUUGUUUCUGUUCUUUUUUUCCUGUUUUUUAUCAUCUUGUGUUAACUCCGCCUAUGUUAUCUCAGCAUAGCCGGUCNNNNNNNNNNGUGUUCUUUUUUUCUUGUUUCUUAUCAUCUUGUGUUAACUCCGCCUAUGUUAUCUCAGCAUAGCCGGUCCCAAGACCGGGUAAAGGAGGAGGGUUGUGAUAGGCGUGGCGAGCCAACAUGAAAAACCCAGCCACUCUUAUGGAGAUGAAACCCAAAGGAAACUCGUUGGGGGCGUAACCCUCUUAGCGACGGGCCACAUCGGAACCCGGGUGUGGUGUCAAAUGGGCAAGGGCCGGGCCGUCACCCCCUUGGUGGCGCGCCGUAUCUUGAUCUGGAUACGGUGAUAAGUGAGCAAGGGUCGGGUCGCCGCAUCCUUAGUGGCGCGCUNNNNNNNNNNAGAGAUGAAACCCAAAGGAAACUCGUUGGGGCGUAACCCUCUUAGCGACGCGCCACAUUGGAACCCCGUUCUGGUGUCAAAUGGGCAAGGGCCGGGCCGUCACCCCCUUGGUGGCGUGCCGUAUCUUGAUCUGGAUAUGGUGAUAAGUGAGCAAGGGUCGGGUCGCCGCAUCCUUAGUGGCGCGCUGCACCGACGCCCCGGUGUAGUAAAAAAUGAGCAAGGGUCUUCGCAUUUGACUCGGCGAGUGCGGAGGGUAAGGAAGUUAGCCGAGCCUAGGAGGAUACGCUUAGGUAGCUGGAACGUAGGGUCCCUAACGGGUAAGUUACGGGAGCUAGUUGAUACGGCGGUGAGGAGGCGUGUUGAUGUCCUAUGUGUCCAAGAGACCAAAUGGAAGGGACAAAAGGCGAAGGAGGUGGAGGAUACCGGCUUCAAGUUGUGGUAUACGGGGACAACUUCAAACAAGAAUGGAGUAGGCAUCUUGGUCAACAAGAGCCUUAGGGAUGGAGUUGUGGACGUUAAGAGGCAAGGGGAUUGGAUGAUCCUUGUCAAGCUGGUAGUUGGGGACUUAGUCCUCAAUGUUAUCAGCGCGUAUGCCCCGCAAGUAGGCCACAAUGAGAGCACCAAGAGGGAGUUCUGGGAAGGCCUGGAGGACUUGAUUAGGAGGGUACCUAUUGGUGAGAAUCUCUUCAUAGGAGGAGACUUCAAUGGCCAUGUGGGUACAUCUAACACAGGGUUUGAAAGGGUGCAUGGGGGCUUUGGCUAUGGCAUCAGGAACAAAGAAGGAGAAGAUGUCCUGAGCUUCGCUCUAGCCUACGACAUGGUUGUAGCUAACACCCUCUUUAGGUAGAGAGAAUCCCAUCUAGUGACGUUCAGUAGUGGUCUACACUCUAGCCUGAUUGAUUUUGUCCUCUCUAGAAGAGAAGACAGACGCGCUUGCAUUGAUUGUAAAGCGAUACCUGGAGAGAGUGUUGUCCCUCAACAUAAGCUUGUGGUUGCUGACUUCCGCUUUAGGAUUCGUGUCCAACAGGAUAAGCAUGCCAAAGUUGCUAGAACGAAGUGGUGGAAGCUCAAGGGGGAGGCAUCCCAGGCUUUCAGGGAGAGGGUCAUUAAGGAGGGCCCUUGGGAGGAAGGAGGCGAUGCAAACUUGAUGUGGACGAGUAUGGCGACCUUCUUGCGGAAGGUUGUUGUAGAGGAGUUUGGGGUGACCAAGGGAAGUAGAAGGGAAGCUAAGGACACCUGGUGAUGGAACGAUGAGGUCCAGAAGGUUAUUAGGGAGAAGAAGGACUGUUUCAGAUGCCUAUAUCUGGACAGGAGUGCAGCUAACAUGGAGAAGUAUAAGGUGGCAAAGAAGGCUGCAAAGCGGGCGGUGAGUGAAGCGAGAGGUCAAGCGUAUGAGGACCUCUACCAACGUUUAAACACUAAGGAAGGUGAAAGGGACAUCUAUAAGAUGGCCAAGAUUAGGGAGAGGAAGACGAGGGAUGUCGGCGAAGUCAAAUGCAUCAAGGACGGAGAUGAUCAGCUUCUUGUGAAGGAUGAGACGAUCAAGCGUAGAUGGCGGGAGUACUUUGACAACCUUUACAAUGGAGAGGUUGACAGCUCUACCAUUGAGCUAGACGACUCCUUUGAUGAUACCAGCAUGUGCUUUGUGCGAUGUAUCCAGGAGUGUGAGGUUAAGUACGCGUUAAAAAGCAUGAAAGUAGGCAAGGCGAUGGGUCCUGAUGGUAUCCCCAUCGAGGUGUGGAGAGGCCUUGGAGACAUAGCGAUUGUAUGGCUAACUAAGCUUUUCAACCUCAUUUUUCGGUCAAACAAGAUGCCCGAAGAAUGGAGGCGGAGUAUUUUAGUACCAAUCUUUAAGAACAAUGAGGAUGUUCAAUGUUGUACUAAUUACCGCGGAAUCAAGCUGAUGAGCCAUACUACGAAGUUAUGGGAGAGAGUCAUUGAACACCGCUUAAGAAGGUUGACAAGCGUGACCAAAAACCAAUUUGGUUUCAUGCCUGGGAGGUCUACCAUGGAAGCCAUCUUCUUGGUAUGACAGCUGAUGGAGAGAUACAGGGAGCAAAAGAAGGACCUUCAUAUGGUGUUCAUUGAUUUGGAGAAGGCCUAUGAUAAGAUACCUCGGAAUGUCAUGUGGUGGGCCUUGGNNNNNNNNNNAUCGAUCAACUGGCUAGCCAACUAGAGGCAUGCUAGGGACGGUGUUUUGUCUAUGUAUCCACACAUGUAAAUGAGUCUUCAUUCAAUACAAUUAUAGCAUGGAUAAUAAACUAUUAUCUUGAUACAGGAAUUAUAAUAAUAACUAUACAUUUAUUAUUGCCUCUAGGGCAUAAUUCCAACAAUAUGGUGUUCAUUGAUUUGUAGAAGGCCUAUGAUAAGAUACCUCGGAAUGUCAUGUGGUGGGCCUUGGAGAAACACAAAGUCCCAAUAAAGUACAUUAUCCUCAUCAAGGAUAUGUAUGAUAAUGUUGUGACAAGUGUUCGAACAAGUGAUGGCGACACCGAUGACUUUCCGAUUAGAAUAGGGCUACACCAAGGGUCAGCUUUGAGCCCUUNNNNNNNNNNCCCUCAUCAAGGAUAUGUAUGAUGAUGUUGUGACAAGUGUUCGAACAAGUGAUGGCGACACUGAUUACUUUCCGAUUAGAAUAGGGCUACACCAAGGGUCAGCUUUGAGCCCUUAUCUUUCUGAUUUGGUGAUGGAUGAGGUCACAAGGGAUAUACAAGGAGAUAUCCCAUGGUGUAUGCUCUUUGCGGAUGAUGUGGUGCUAGUCGAUGAUAGCCGAAUGGGGGUUAAUAGAAAGUUAGAGUAUGGAGGCAGACUCUAGAAUCGAAAGGUUUUAGGCUUAGUAGAACUAAAACCGAAUACAUGAGGUGCAGUUUUAGUGCUACUAGGCACGAGGAUGGAGAGGUUAGCCUUGGUGGGCAGGUGGUACCGGAGAGAGACGUGUUUCAAUAUUUGGGGUCCAUGUUGCAGAAGGAUGGCGAUAUCGAUGAAGACGUGGACCACCGAAUCAAGGCUGGGUGGAUGAAGUGGCGCCAAGCUUCUAGCGUAGUCUGUGACAAGAGAGUGCCACAAAAACUAAAAGGCAGGUUUUAUAGGACAGCUAUCCGACCUGCGAUGUUGUAUGGCGCGGAGUGUUGGCCAACCAAGAGACGACAUAUCCAACAGUUAGGUGUAGCAGAGAUGCGCAUGUUGAGAUGGAUAUGUGGCCACACAAGGAAGGAUCGGGUACGGAAUGACGAUAUACGAGAGAGACUUGGGGUAGCACCGAUUGAAGAGAAGCUGGUCCAGCAUCGUCUCAGAUGGUUUGGACAUAUUNNNNNNNNNNNNNNNNNNNNNNNNNNNNNNNNNNNNNNNNNNNNNNNNNNNNNNNNNNNNNNNNNNNNNNNNNNNNNNNNNNNNNNNNNNNNNNNNNNNNUCUUGUUUUUUAUCAUUGUGGCGUUCGGAAGGAUGGUGACGCUUCUUUUUAGGCUCCGAUUCUCAUUAAGUUUUUGUCCGUAUGGAUAUAGUUGACAGAGCGCCGACGCAGAAUCAUGUUCUCUUCUUCUCGCGAUGAGGUUAGGGUUUCUCGUCAUAUGACGAUUUUGUGCAUGUUGCUUCAGAUCUAUGAAAUGGUUCAAUAGCGACUACUAUGGUACCAGGGUGUGGGUCCUUACGUGCAUGUGCGGGAAGAUAUCUCGGUUGUCAUCGUCAAUGCAUCGGCGACACGUUCUGUCAGUAAUAGUGGUUAUUUGGUGGUUUCGGAAUCUCAUUCUAAUUUUUAUUAUUUUUGAGAUGCUUUGUAUUUUCCAUGAACUUUUAUAAAAGAUCUGAUCAUUUUCUUAAAAAAUGAAUGAAAAAUAUUUUGCCCUGCAUGGUAGCAUGUGGUAUUGGGUCUUUUUUGAUACAUGGUUGCAUACUGAGGUAGAUCUUAUCCUGUCCAUUAUAUGGUGAUCUGGCAUAUGCUUGUAUAUUGAGAUAAAUAAGUUAGUGGUGAUCAAUUUCUUAGAUAUAUGUAGAAUGGGUUACAACUAUAGUAACACAUUUGGAUGGAUUUUUUAAGCUUAAGCUACAAUAAUGCACNNNNNNNNNNUGUGAUCACUGUCUUAGAUAUAUGUAGAAUGGGUUACAACUACAGUAACACAUUUGGAUGGAUUUUUUAAGCUUAAGCUACAACAAUGCACCAUCAAAAAGGAAAAUUGAUGAUGGUUAUAUAAAAUACUAAGGUGAUCCGCGAAUUAAACUCAAAAUAUAUUUAGAUGCUAACAAACAUGCAUAUGCGUGGUGCGAGUAAGUUCUACUUUGAACCCGCAGGCAAUAAUAAUUAGUGUGCUGCACUAAAUUCUACUUGAGAGGCUGGGCCAAGAAUCAAAGUGGCAUAUACAAAGUGGAAAAAGAGAGGCCGACGCAGCUCACUAAUGAGUUAGAUGUGAAACCAAAGUCUACACUUCUUAAUAUGUCCGAUAGAAAUAUUAAGAUUGAGGCUGUGAAGAAGGUGCAAACUCUUCUCAGAGAGAGGAGAUGAAAUGGGCCAUUUGAGCAAAGGUUGCGAAGGUGCACCCGAAGAGAAUUUUGUUUUUCUGGAUUAGAGCACAACAAGUGACAUUCCUCAACCCAGUUCAGAUGAGAACGAGGUUUUGCCAGCCCCAUUUAGGGAUGAAGAGAUGUUUGACACAAUAUCACAAAUGAAGCCAAAUAAGGCACCGGGACCAGAUGGGUUUCCGAUGGAAUUUUAUAAAAAGUGUUGGCAUAUUAUUAAAGAUGAUAUUUUGCAUAUGUUCCAUGAUUUGUUUAAUGGGCAUUUGCAGCUAUUCCACCUUAACUUUGGAAUAAUAAUGGUGUUUCUAAAGAAGGUGNNNNNNNNNNNNNNNNNNNNNNNNNNNNNNNNNNNNNNNNNNNNNNNNNNNNNNNNNNNNNNNNNNNNNNNNNNNNNNNNNNNNNNNNNNNNNNNNNNNNUCAGUUAAACUCAAAAUAUAUUUAGAUGCUAACAAACAUGCAUAUGUGUGGUGCGAGUAAGUUCUACUUUGAAUCCGCAGGCAAUAAUAAUUAGUGUAGUGCACGUAAAUUCUACUUGAAAGGCUGGGCCAAGAAUCAAAGUGGCAUAUACAAAGUGGAAAAAGAGAGGCCGACGCAGCUCACUAAUGAGUUAGAUGUGAAAGCAGAGUCUACACUUCUUAAUAUGUCUGAUAGAAAUAUUAAGAUUGAGGCUGAGAAGAAGGUGCAAACUCUUCUGAGAGAGAGGAGAUGAAAUGGGCCCUUCGAGCAAAGGUGGCGAAGGUGGACCAUGGAGAUGAUAAAACACAAUUCUUUCACAUGAUUGGGAAUGGCAAACAUAGGAAGAAGAAAAUAAUUCAACUUGAACACGAUGAGGAUAAAAUUGUAGGAAAUGAGAACCUAAAAUUGUACAUCUCCGAGUAUUAUAAGAAACUUUUUGGUGCAUCCGAAGAGAAUUUUGUUUUUCUGGAUGAGAGCACAACAAGUGACAUUCCUCAACCCAGUUCAGAUGAGAAUGAGGUUUUGUCAGCCCUAUCUUUAGCCGAUUUGGAUGGUAAACUAAUAAUUGGCUAGGUGUAUAGGCAUCGUAGAUUACUUAUGGUUUCGUCGAAUGUGACAUCAUUUAUUUUCUAUACUUUGUGUUUUGCUCAUAUUGUGAGCUAAUUGUUGCUGCAUUACUUUGCUCUUGAACUUAUUUAGUAAUAAUAUGGUUGCAUGCAUCGAUUGAUGCAGAGUUUGAAGGCUACGUGCCUCCAUUAAAAAAAGUAAAUUCUACUUUGAACAUGCGGACAAUGAUAGUUAUGAUAUGGUGACCCUUCGGACAAGAUUUUGGUAUUUGCGAAUGCUGAGGUGUAUUCCGUCCGGCACCUAGCAAGGCUGCAGGAACCACACCUUAUUUGUGAAGCAUAGGUUUUACCUAGGUCCGGAUCCUUGCAUGAUGACUAACAACACUAACCAUGUUUGUCUGGAAUUACAUUCUCAAGGAGUUACAGAGAUCAAGAACAUGAUGUGCUCGUCAGGUUCGUGGUGAACUCGACGAAUAGGGGGUGGACUCUAGAUCAUGUCCCAUCGGCUAGGCUAAUCUAGCAGUCUUAAGACUUCAGGUGCUUUCAAAUCAAAUGGAAGAUGUCUUUGCUUCCAUGGCCAUUCGCAUAUUUACCAAUAUCUUGGUGGUUAGGCUUUGCCGACUUCCUCAUGGUCUCAUUGUUCUUCUUCCCUAUGGAUUCUUGAUAGCCUUGAGGGCCUUCUGGUAAGAAAUUACCAGGGGUGGCGCAUCCAUGGAAGUCAGUACUCUGGACAAUCCCCCCCCCCCCCNNNNNNNNNNNNNNNNNNNNNNNNNNNNNNNNNNNNNNNNNNNNNNNNNNNNNNNNNNNNNNNNNNNNNNNNNNNNNNNNNNNNNNNNNNNNNNNNNNNNNNNNNNNNNNNNNNNNNNNNNNNNGAACAUUACGGUAAGUAUGGAAAUUCACUUCCCCUCGACACCAUUUUAUUUGGACUAUAUUUUAGAUUCACAAAUUGGCGUUCAACCAGGUUUAAUGGUUCANNNNNNNNNNNNNNNNNNNNNNNNNNNNNNNNNNNNNNNNNNNNNNNNNNNNNNNNNNNNNNNNNNNNNNNNNNNNNNNNNNNNNNNNNNNNNNNNNNNNGAGACAAGUCUGACUCCUCGUUGCUCUACUUCGGAGUCUGCCGCAAUCCUUGUUUUGAUCCUAAGUGGCACUAUAUAUGUCUGUCACCGGUUGUUCAAGACGGUGACUUUUCGGUGUGGAUCGAGUCCUGUCAUUGAUCUGCAUCUUUCUCUCACGCACUAAGGGUGGCUGGUGCGUCGACAAGAGACACUCUGCGGAAGUUAUUUGGUCUUCGGUGUUGUUCGGCGUCAGUCAAGACGCGGUGCUUUGUGUCGGUUCAGGAUAAGCUCUUUUNNNNNNNNNNAGUGUGGAUUGAGUCCUGUCAUUGAUCUGCAUCUUUCUCUCACGCGCUAAGGGUGGCUGGUGCGUCGACAAGAGACACUCUGGGGAAGUUAUUUGGUCUUCGGUGUUGUUCGACGUCAGUCAAGACGCGGUGCUUUGUGUCGGUUCAGGAUAAGCUCUUUUGCAUUGUAGCUCGGUGGACGGUGCGGUUUAUCUUUAGGUUUGUCCUUGUGAUGUUCGUGCUAUGCAUCAAGUGAUAGCUUUUUUCAUUGAAAUUAUGUCUUUACCAGAGUACAAAAGGUAUCNNNNNNNNNNNNNNNNNNNNNNNNNNNNNNNNNNNNNNNNNNNNNNNNNNNNNNNNNNNNNNNNNNNNNNNNNNNNNNNNNNNNNNNNNNNNNNNNNNNNAGUCCUAGUUUCAAUACUGCUUGAACGCCGUGGUGCAAGAUAGAGCCUAGAAGAUUUAGUUGAAAAAAAUAUUGAGUAAAACAAAAUAGUUACACAUUAUACAGAUAUUACUUUCGGCUAGUAUAUAUAUGUUGUUGCGUGUUAAAUUGUAUUUUAUCAACUUCAAAUAAAAUUUAAAAAUAUAUAUGUGUUUAUUAUCACACCCAAAUGCCACCUGCAUUUUUUUAAUGGGAAAGCUUAAGCGUGUUGACAUGUGCAAAAAAACAAGUCAAAAGACAAAUGAUACAGUUAAUUUAAUUUUUCACGCUGACAAAUAAAUUCAGAAUUCUCGUAAUUCAAUUUUAGGUUACUAUUCACCAAAGAGUAUAUCUAUACCUAGUGAUAAAGCAAGGUGUGUUUCUUUAAUUCUUUCAUAUGUUCAUCCAUAUUAUAUUUUCAGAUUUUUUCCUAUCCGACGUUAUAUUUUCAUAUCCAUAUUAUAUUUUCAUAUUGUUGUGCUGCAAGUUCGAAGUUCAUUUGUUGUGCUAUAUGGGAAAAACAAAAAAAAAAGUACUUGCACGAAUCGCGAUGUGGAAUUGGAUGGCUAGAUAGGGGGAUGCCUAGAAGCCUAAGCUCCACAAUAUAUUUUCGUGGUAAUUUGAUGGCACCAAUGCUCCAACGCAAAUUUUAUACAUCAAGGUUAGCUUCUACAAUCUAUGCUGUUAUAGUAGAUGUUUCAGAGAAGCAGUUCCCUAUAAAUUAUUGGUGGUUAAAUUUUUUUAGACAUCAAGAAGCAUUCAUAAUUUUGGCAGCAACAAUUAUAAGGUGCGCCAUACAAGCAUUACUAGUAUAAUAUCCAUGCAUUGCCACGGGCUAUGAAUAUAUUUUUAUCAGUUGCAAACAUAGUCACAAUACAUGUAAAAAUUUACAUGCAUAGAAAUUAUAGCAUGUAACGAUGAGAAGUAAUUAAAAUCCACUUCAGUAAUCCAAUUAAUUAUCUUUUACAAAUAAAGAUCUACUUGAUGUGUUUAACAUAGUUUUGUACAAUGUGAGGAAUGUUGUCUUCAACUUCAUUGCAUGGCACAAUGUGAGCCGCAUCCUUAUUUUGAUGAGUUUUAAAUUGUGUAUAUAUAUAUUUUCUAGAAAUGACUUGUUAUGCUAUGUGACAUUGAUGUCAACGUAUAGAAGCUCCUCCUUUUUACUUUUUNNNNNNNNNNNNNNNNNNNNNNNNNNNNNNNNNNNNNNNNNNNNNNNNNNNNNNNNNNNNNNNNNNNNNNNNNNNNNNNNNNNNNNNNNNNNNNNNNNNNNNNNNNNNNNNNNNNNNNNNNNNNNNNNNNNNNNNNNACAGCUGCCUUCUACUCUUCCCGCACAACCAACCAGACACCAAUUGUCACCGCAUCUCAUCUCCCCGCCAGAGAGUAUCCACCGCCAUCUCCCCCAGACACCUCCCCUCCAUGCCAUGGCGAAGCCCGCCCACUCCUCUCCCCAUCAUCUGCCCUCUCAUCCAUGGCUCCGCCGCCUCGACGCUGAGCUAGCCCACCGGUCUAGCAUCGUGGAUAGUUGGGUCCUCCCUGGAGGUGCAAAAGGGAUCGCAACCGUCUGUUAGUGCUAGCCAUGUAGCUGACCCAUUCGUAUGUGAGUUGCACAACCUCAUGUGGCACUGCGAGGAGGGAUACACCUUCAUCAUCGAGGUUGCUCACCCCAGGCCGAUUUCCGGUGCCAUGGAGUGCACGUUGUCAUGCUAGGGCAGCCGCCAAGGAGAUGCGACCUUCUAAUCAUUUUCCUUGCCCAAACCAUUCAAAUCCGAUGUAGCUGCCAGCAUGUCUAUCGUUCCUAUCGAUUAGCUUUAUGGAUUACAUGAGAAGACUUUUACGUGUGCGCGCGUCGCAACACGUGAUAGGCUUGCAAGCGCAAUCCUAAUCCCCCUAAUUUUAGUUGUGAAGCUGAAUAUCUAAUCUCAUUAAUCCAUCUCCCUUGAUUUUCAGAGCAUGGAUUUCUAUGCAUCUCUCCAAUCUCUUGUCCCAGAUUUUUAGGGAAAGUUUANNNNNNNNNNGGCUGAAUAUCUAAUCUCAUUAAUCCAUCUCCCUUGAUUUUCAGAGCGUGGAUGUCUAUGCAUCUCUCCAAUCUCUUGUCCCAGAUUUUUAGGGAAAGUUUAAUAGCAACCUGAUGAGAGACGACCUCUAGUUCAUGCACAUGCCAUUUCCUCAUACUAUCUGAAGGGAGUAUCAAAAUCAUAAUUGCGUAGCUUUUAGUUUUUUGCUAAAAGUUUAGGCGCAUCAUUUUUUUUGCGCCGGGCAUGAAGGAAAAACAUUUAUCUAGACAUUUGAAAGAUGCAGCAGUGAGACUCUCAUAACAACCAGUUCCGAUUGAACAUACAACCCUUGAACAGGGUGGAGCCCCGCCAUAGGUCCACUAUAUUGGUUACAAAUUUACAAUUCUCUAACAACUUUGUGCCAUUUUUGGACUAUUUGUUAAAACUAAGAUGAUAUUUAAGUUAAAUUAUAUUAACUGACACCCCACUACUAUGAUCGUAGGCUAGUCAUUUCCAUGGGACAUGCAAACUAGUUAUACUAAAAAAUGCAAACUAGUUAUACUAUAUUGGUUACAAAUUUACAAUUCUCUAACAACUUUGUGCCAUUUUUGGACUAUUUGUUAAAACUAAGAUGAUAUUUAAGUUAAAUUAUAUUAACUGACACCCCACUGCUAUGAUCGUAGGCUAGUCAUUUCCAUCGGACAUGCAAACUAUUUAUACUAAAAAAUGCAAACUAGUUAUACUAUAUUGGUUACAAGUUUACAAUUCUCUAACAACUUUGUGCCAUUUUUGGACUAUUUGUUAAANNNNNNNNNNNNNNNNNNNNNNNNNNNNNNNNNNNNNNNNNNNNNNNNNNNNNNNNNNNNNNNNNNNNNNNNNNNNNNNNNNNNNNNNNNNNNNNNNNNGGGACAUGCAAGUUGAUCGUCCUGUCAUGCAAUUAGUCUAUGAAGUCUACGCGGUGCUAGUAUUCUGAUAUACAUUGCGGGUCUGGUUAUUCUAUUUUCUUGUAGUGUAGUAUGACCAGUCAAGUGUUCACAUGUAUAUUUAAUUUUCCAUGUUGGCAGGGUUGCGUGUUAGAAAAAGGCAUAUCUAUAUAUGCACGUCAUUACGGCAGGGUUGCCUAGCUAGCUGUACGUGUGAUGGAUGAACUAGGAUAUACUAAUGUGGAUUCAUCCAGAACUUGCUAUCUCAAGCUGUCUGAAUUUCACAUAUUGUUGGUGUUUCACUAAUCACAUAAAGAUACUACUUGUAAAUUAGUACUUCCUCGGUUCCUGAAUAUAAGUUUUUUUUCUUCAAAUAUUCUACUAAGAACUACAUGCCAAUAAAAAUAAAUGAAUCUAUAAUUUAAAUUAUGUCUAUAUACAUCCGUAUAUAGUUCGUAGUAAAAUAUCUAGNNNNNNNNNNAAAUAUUCUACUAUGAACUACAUACCAAUAAAAAUAAAUGAAUCUACAAUUCAAAUUAUGUCUAUAUACAUCCGUAUAUAGUUCGUAGUAAAAUAUCUAGAAACACUUAUAUUUAGAAAUGGAGGGAGUAUAAUACAUUUAUUCUAGAUCACUAGUCUAUGUCUAUACUUAUUAAUAAAAGGAUAAAUGUCUCUACCCGUCCGUCGUACCUUUUGGAAACAAAUAAACCCAAUUGUUUCUUGAAAUCAACGCACGGUCCUGAUUUUAAGUGAAUCUUAAAUUUUUUUUGUAUUUUACUAAAAACUUCCUAACCUUUCGGUUAAACGACCUACUGUCCUGUUUUAAGUGAGUCCNNNNNNNNNNUCACGGUCCUGAUUUUAAGUGAAUCUUAAAAAUAUUUUGUAUUUUACUAAAAACAUCCUAACCUUUCGGUUAAACGACCUACUGUCCUGUUUUAAGUGAGUCCAGAAAAUCUUCUAUGUUUUCUAGAAACCCCUUGAUAUUUCGUUCCAUAAACCUAAAGUCAAUAGUCCGAUUAAAGAACUAUGUAGACAUGUCCCGAGGUACUCCUCGGUCAAUAUCCAAUAGCGGUACCUGGAUGCCCAUAUUGGAUCCUACAUAUUCUCCGAAGAUCUUAUCGGUUGAACCUCAGUGUCAAGGAUUCAUAUAAUCCCGUAUGUCAUUCUCUUUGUCCUUCGGUAUGUUACUUGCCCGAGAUUCGAUCGUCGGUAGCCGCAUACCUAUUUCAUUCUCGUUACCGGCAAGUCUCUUUACUCGUUCCGUAAUACAAGAUCCCGUGACUUACACUUAGUCACAUUACUUGCAAGGCUUGUGUGUGAUGUUGUAUUAUCAAGUGGGCCUCGAGAUACCUCUCCGUCACACGGAGUGACAAAUCCCAGUCUUGAUCCAUACUAACUCAACAGACACCUUCGGAGAUACCUGUAGAACACCUUAUAGUCACCCAGUUACGUUGUGACGUUUGAUGCGCACAAGGUAUUCCUUCGGUGCUAGUGAGUUAUAUGAUCUCAUGGUCAUAGAAACAAGUACUUGACACACAGAAAACAAUAGCAAUAAAAUGACACGAUCAAUAUGCUACGUAUAUAAUUUGGGUCUUGUCCAUCACAUGAUUCUCCUAAUGAUGUGAUCCCGUUAUCAAGUGACAACACUUGCCUAUGGUCAGGAAACCUUGACCAUCUUUGAUCAACGAACUAGUCAACUAGAGGCUCACUAGGAACAGUGUGUUGUCUAUGUAUCCUCACAUGUAUUUGAGUUUCCAAUCAAUACAAUUCUAUCAUGGAUAAUAAAAGAUUAUUAUGAACAAGGAAAUAUAAUAAACUAAUUUAUUAUUGUCUCUAGGGUAUAUUUCCAACAAUAUAUACCAACUCACUACGAGGUCAACAUAUUCGCUACUUGACUAGGUAUUUAGAUAUAUACGUACAUCAAAGUAAGUGAAGUAGUAUAUUUACACACCAGUUUUAAUCUGAUCCACAUAAUCAUGCAUACUUAGGGUCAUACAUGACAAUGCUGUAGAAAAACAUACAUGAUUACAUCAGUAACAAUUUCUCCUACAAUUUGUUCAAUGGGAUCAUGCCAUCCUUAUGAAGUAAGGUCAUUUCAUCACCAUACUUCUUUGAACCGGAAACAAGGAGCCUAAACCUAUCAAAUAUGCAUCUCGGACUGAGAGAAAAUCCAGCCAUAAAAACAUAACCACCUGGGUUGAGCAGGAGAGGAUGGAGCCAUGCAUGGGAGGGGAGAAGAUUGUCGUAUUAGCUCCGAUUUUGCCAAUAGCCAUGCCUUGAAGUUUUGCCUGCCGCUCGUCCCCUACCUCGUCCUUCCCCUCCUAACAAAUGAGGCCCUGACCGGUCAGGAGAAGGCAGACGAUGUGGUUCGACGUGCAGAAAAACCAUGAGAAAAGCCCCACUGAUGUGACAUGCCAGUUGGACUUUACAAUUGAGACCCAUCGGUCAAAACGCUCACAAAAUUUUAAGCAAGGUAAAUUAUGGCAACAUUUUUGCUAAAUGGAUUAAAACAGAUGAAAUCGCGUUAAAUCGGGUAACUAGUGUCAAAAAUAUUAAAAUAGAAGGUAAAAACCGGAAUUCACUCUUUUUAUUAUUAUGUGUGUCCUUCUAUGAACAUGUGAGUCAGUUAGAUGCCACAACAAGAUACAACAAUGGAUGAUUUGUACAUAUUCACUAUAGAAUACAUUAUGCUAACUUAAGUAGCGAAUUGAGCAUAGGUAAAAUAGUUAGCUUACUUGUGGUGGAAUCAGACCACCAGUUAGACUUGACACCAAUGCUCAAAAUUUUCUAUAUUUAUUCAACUCUCUCCUUAAUAAGUUUGAACUGCUUACCACAAAUGUCACAUGGCGAUGUUCGUUCAGUUAAAGAAGAUGUUUCCAUCUAUCAUUAAACGUCUCUGAUGACUUCGUCAAUCUCAAAUGUUGUGCUAACUCAAUAUCUCGGAGGCCCUAGUAGAUAUAGGAUGCGUGUGUAUGUUCAUAUAGGUGAGUGUAUGUAUAUGUACGUGAGCGCAUCUGCCAUUGUAUAUAUAAAAAAAAACUAUGCGUGCAUGCACUUAUGACAUCUACGAGUGUACGUCUUGCCUUGCGGGAUAAUCAGUAGUACGAUGCAUGCAUCCUUUAAUUUUUUAUGGAUCAGCUAGAACGUCAAGAUGUAAAAGGUGACAUUGAAGAAGAAGAAAAUCUUCAGCAAGAUUUUUAGUUUUAUCAAGGAUCAUCNNNNNNNNNNNNNNNNNNNNNNNNNNNNNNNNNNNNNNNNNNNNNNNNNNNNNNNNNNNNNNNNNNNNNNNNNNNNNNNNNNNNNNNNNNNNNNNNNNNNNNNNNNNNNNNNNNNNNNNNNNNNNNNNNNNNNNNNNNNNNNNNNNNNNNNNNNNNNNNNAGCUGGCAUAUCACUAGUCGACUUAACCCAACUUGAACAACCUUUCUAUUCCAGGUACGUGUACAAGUAUGUAUAUCCUUUUACAAUAUGCAAAUCAUGCAUUUAGAUACCAUAACGUGAUACAAUGACAUUGAUCAAUCAUAAGCUUAUAAAGCAUGCAUGCAUGAGCGAGGGAGCCCAUGCAAACGCCUGACAUAUGAACUGUAACAGUGCGCGCGUAUGACAUGCAAUAGCUACGAGUAAAUCGAUGGAUAGAUGGAUCACAUGGGGCAGGUGAAGUUGGCGGGGCACUUCUUGCCGCACUGGUUGAGUNNNNNNNNNNGGUUCGAUUUGAAAUUGUCCAUUAAGAUGAAACCAAUAUAGGAUUUAAUCUUCCCAGCCACACGAUGCGGAUGAUGCAAAUUCUCACCAUUUCUUAUAUUAUUUCUUUUAUCCGAGAUGUGCCAUAUAGCCACAGUAAAGUACAAUGCGUGAAGAUCUGGUGCAACAUUUAUCCAUUCUAGCAAUCAUUGAUGAAUAUUGAUAAACCUUUUUAGAUUUAGCACGAUAUGAAAAGACCUUUCAUAGUUUGCCCAAAAAUUCUUUGACAUAAUGGGAAAAGAAGAAACAAUGUUCCACAGUCUCAACUCUAUUACAGAUAAAACACUCAUACCUCGUAGGAAAUGUUCCACAGUUUCAUCAAUGUUCCUCACCAGUAGGUAAAAAAUUACGAACCAUUCUCCAUAAGAUGAUCUUCAUUCUAUUUGGACUUUGUAUUUCGAGUUUUUGCUCUAUAUUUUUCCUGUUUCCUCCAUGUUCGAGGCUGAUCCUCUUCCAUCAGAGCUCUAGUACAUCCAGAACGAUAAGGAUUUUGCAAGGUUAUACCGAGACAAUAUAGUGUAGGUGCCUCCAUUCGUGUAUGGCCAUGAUGCGAAAUCUCAGCACCCUUAUGAACUUAGAGGGAUCUUUAGGAUCUUUACAACCAGGUUUUUUGGAAACAUUUCACUAACAACCACACUGUUUCAUGAUUUACCAUCAGUUAAAAACAAAUGGUUCGCAGUCUUAUCCUCCUCCACCGGGAAAUUUGUACAAAGUAUGCCACGAAAUGAGUGUGGGAUCCAAUUAUCUUAAAUCAAAGAUAUUUGCUUUCCGUCUCCUAAUUGCAAGAAUAAGCCGUUUUGAAGGAGUUUCUUACCAAAUAAUAUGCUGCGCCAUGUGUGGGAAGCUGAUCUUGGGCAUCCUGAUCUCCAAAAAUCUCCAUGCGGGAAAUACCUUCCUUCUAAUACCUUGAAGCAUAAUGAAUUGGGGUUCACUAAGAGCCUACAGCACUGCUUUGCAAGCAUGGCUUGAUUAAAAAUCACCAAGUCCCUGAAUCCCAUUCCUCCAAGAUACUUGGGCGAGGAUAGCCAAUUAGAGGACCUCCAAUGAAUUUUUUCCUCCCAUCUUCCAUUCCCCACCAUACUGGAGAUAGGUCUAUUCAUGUUCUCACAUAUUGAUAUUGGAAUUUGGAAGCAGCACAUUACAUAUGUCCGGAUGGCUUGAGCCACCGACUUUAGAAGUACUUCUCUACCUUCUCUGGAUAACAGUCUUAUCAUUCCACCCAUUUAAUAUCCUCCAUAGCCUCCGAGUGAGGAAAUUAAAAUUGCUUGUUGUAGAGCAUCCCACCCAAGAAGGCAUGCCAAGGUAAGUGGCUUGUAGAGACUCAUCUCGGACUCCUACCAUGUUCUUUACUCGUUCCUUCACCCGAUUGUCACAAUGAUGUCCAAAGAAGAUAUAUGACUUGUGCAAGUUGAUUUUCUGACUAGAGCCUUUGUAGUACGUCUCAAGAGCGAUUUUAAGUAUGUUUGUGCUUCUAUUGUCGCCCUUCACAAAAAAUAUGCUAUCAUCAUCAAAUAAGAGGUGGUAAAUAGGAUNNNNNNNNNNUUGAUGUCCAAAGAAGAUAUAUGACUUGUGCAAGUUGAUUUUCUGACCAGAGCCUUUGUAGUAGGUCUCAAGAGCAAUUUUAAGUAUGUUUGUGCUUCUAUUGUCUCCCGUCACAAAAAAUAUGCUAUCAUCAUCAAAUAAGAGGUGGUAAAUAGGAUGGCCUGCUUUUCUGUUCUUGAUUUCUCUAAUGUCCCUUAUUGCUUCUUUUAACUGUAGAAGACAAGAUAAACCUUCAGGACAUAAUAAAAAUAAGUAUGGGCUGAUGGGAUCACCCUGACAUAUGCCUCUAGUAGGUAUGAAAGGGCCAGUUAAGUUCCCAUUUACUUUGACUGCAUAUUGUAUAGAGGUCACACACCUCAUCACCGAUUCUAACUAGUUUCAAAUAAAGCCAAAUUUAACAAGAACCCCUUUCAAAUAAGGCCAUUCAACUCUAUCAUACACUAGUAGAAAAGAGGGCUUUGGUCCACUUGAUAAAAUCCCAUUAGUCUUGGGCCGACCCAUGUGGGAGGCGGGACACCAAUGUUUUUUUUUUAUAUAUUUCCUUUUUUCUUUUCUGUAUUUGUAUUUUCUAUUUUAAAAUAAUUCAGGAUUACAAAAUGUUUCCAUUUUCAGGAAAUAGAGAAAUAAAAAUAUUUUGAGAAAUCAUAAAUAUUCGUGAAUUCGUGAAAUGUGCAUGUUUUUGAAAAACAUUUGGGAAGUCAUAAAAUUUUCAAAUUUAAAAGAAUUCAUGAUUUUCAAACAAAUCUUUGCAUAUUCAAAGAUCUUUCAUGNNNNNNNNNNGAAAUCCCAUUAGUCUUGGGCCGACCCAUGUGGGAGGCGGGACACCACUGUUUUUUUUAUAUAUUUUUCCUUUUUUUCUUUUCUGUAUUUGUAUUUUCUAUUUUAAAAUAAUUCAAGAUUAUAAAUUUUUUCCAUUUUCAGGAAAUAGAGAAAUAAAAAUAUAUUUGAGAAAUCAUAAAUAUUCGUGAAUUCAUGAAAUGUGCAUGUUUUUUAAAAACAUUUGGGAAGUCAUAAAAUUUUCAAAUUUAAAAUAAUUCAUGAUUUUCAAACAAAUCUUUGCAUAUUCAAAGAUCUUUCAUGAUUUUGAAAAAAAGUCCGGGAAAGAAAUAAAGUGUGUGGGUUCAAAAACAAUUAUUAAAGAUGGAAGAAGUUCAUGAAUUAAAACAAUAUUCACGAUUCUGUAAAAAAUGUCCAUAAAAAAUGUAUUUCAGUUUAAAUUGUCCCUGAAUUUCGAAGUUCAUCNNNNNNNNNNAAAAAGUGUGUGGGUUCAAAAACAAUUCUUAAAGAUGGAAGAAGUUCAUGAAUUAAAACAAUAUUCAUGAUUCUGUAAAAAAUGUCCGUAAAAAAUGUAUUUCAGUUUAAAUUGUCCCUGAAUUUCGAAGUUCAUCAAUUGAAAAGAGGUUUGCUGAAUGAAAGUAUGUUCAUGGUUUUCAAAAACAAAUUUAUUAAAAAAAUUGUGAUCUUCAAAAAGUUUUUCCAAAAUAUAAAAAUAUUUAUCAAUUCAAAACAAUUGGUUUAACUUUAAAAAAAUGUUCAUGAUUUCAAAUAAUGUCCGAGAAUAUGCAAAAAAUACGAAUAUAAAAAAUGUACACGUUUCAAAACAUGUCCAUAAAUUGAAAAAAUGUUUAUGAUUUCCAAAUGUGUUCACAAUUUUGAUAUUUUUUCAAUAUUUGUUUUUUUUGAAAAAGACAGGAAAAUUGAAAUUGGAAAUAAUGAAAAAUAUAAUAAAANNNNNNNNNNUCACGUUUCAAAACAUGUCCAUAAAUUGAAAAAAUAUUCAUGAUUUCGAAAUGUGUUCACAAUUUUGAUUUUUUUUUCAAUAUUUGUUUUUUUAAAAAGACAGGAAAAUUGAAAUUGGAAAUAAUGAAAAAUAUAAUAAAAGGCAAACAAGAAAAAAAAUGAGAAAUGAAAAAUUAAAAUGAAAAUGACAUAAUAAAAGAAAAUCAAAAAUAGAAAAGAAAGUGGAAAAGGAGAAAUACGAAAAUGAGAAAGAUAUAGAAAAAUAAAAAGAAGCAACAAAGAAGAAGAAAAUAAAAACUGACUCAACGAAGGUUCUAGAACUUCCGCCAACUGAAAAGAAAAAAAACUAGACUAGGAUGGUCCAAACGCGGGACAAUCUCGGGAGGGGGCUAUGCACCAGCUUGCUAUAGAGCGACCUACAUGCCAAAUNNNNNNNNNNUACUUCCGCCAACUGAAAGGAAAAAAAAUAGACUAGGAUGGUCCAAACGCGGGACAAUCUCAGGAGGGGGCUAUGCACCAGCUUGCUAUAGAGCGACCUACAUGCCAAAUUGGAACAAGAAAGCAAGACAUAGUCAUGCCACAUACGCUUGGUUGUCUCAUGGCAAUCGACAGGUAGCCCCUUGACUAUGUGCCAAGCCACACAUGUAGGUUGUAUCACUAAAGGCUUAAUUAUUCAGCCCGGCGUCAUCGCGCACUUGAGUAUUUCUUUCCUGUGUGGUCUAGAUGGGCUUGAUUUGUGGUCGUGGAUGACACCGUGAAGACCUCUUAUGGCAAGGCCAAGUGCACCGUACUCAUCCAGGCCUCGUAUGAAUAACCUCUUUUUCCUCUUAAUUCUCUUGUUUUAAUACUUCUCCUAGUUUCUAAUUUCUUCUUGUUUCGAAAUUUCAGACAAGCAUGGCAGGUUUGGGCUUGAUCUGAAGAUUUUCUUCCUCGGACCGUAACAGAAUUUGGUUUGUUCAAGAAGCUCAAGUAAGUCUUCUUUUUACCAGCAAAAGAAAGAAGCUCAUGUAAGUAUUUUUCUUAAGAUCUUUUAACCCAAGAAAGGAUAUGUGUCCUUGUUGCUCAAUCGUUUUUCCGAUCUCCGACUAAGACAUCCUGAUAAGAACGGCGCCCAAAUAUUUCACAUGAACAUGGUUCCUAUAUACAAGCUAUACAUUAUGUUUCAAAAGUAUGACAUAUAUAAAUAUGCCAAGUUCUGUUGCUUUCAUGCUUAGCACNNNNNNNNNNGAUCCUGACAAGAACGGGGCCCAAAUGUUUCACAUGACCAUGGUUCCUAUAUACAAGCUAUACAUUAUGUUUCAAAAAUAUGACAUAUAUAAAUAUGCCAAGUUCUGUUGCUUUCAUGCUUAGCACCUUUGGUUAACACCCCCAGGAUAGCAGGUAUACAUUUUUAACCAGGGUAGUUAUAAUUAAUCUUUUUUGCUUCCGAGCACCCAUUGUAUAUAGAGAGAUUUACACUAGGAUGUCAAUACCAUCUGUAUAUUUUGUUGUUGUUGACACUGCCUUAUCAAACUAAAUAAACAAAAANNNNNNNNNNNNNNNNNNNNNNNNNNNNNNNNNNNNNNNNNNNNNNNNNNNNNNNNNNNNNNNNNNNNNNNNNNNNNNNNNNNNNNNNNNNNNNNNNNNNUCCGACGGCCACCUUCAUGGAUAUGUUCUUGAAUUUCUGAUGAAGUUCACAUGAUGUUGAAUCCUUGAUUCCAUCCACGGGGUAGCCGGGACCGCCCUCUAUCAUUCUUCGUUCAUCGGCGGGCGGGGCCUCAGAUUCAGCCACGCUGCUUUUCCGCUUAGAUGGGGCACCGGUAAUAUCAAGUGCAGGAUCUUCCUGGCGCGGUACUCCUCUAAGCUCAUCAAUCUUCUUCUGUUGCUCGUUAAUCCUGGCAAGCAACUGGUUGAACUUGUCAUUCUCCUCAUCCUGCUUCCGCUUCUGUGCUCUCUCUCGGCUUCUGUAAGUGUCUUGGUCUCUGGCAAACCCAAGCCACCACGGGUAAGAUGGACCGAAGCCUCGCAUUCGUCCUCCAUGUUCGUCAUUGCCGAGGACCAGUGUGAGCAAAUCUUUAUCUCUAUCUGCAGUGAACUUUCUUUGUCCCUCCUUAAUUUCUUUCACUAUCCUUUUCCAAUUCUCCCUGGGUAUCCUAAGAUUGUCAUUGCAGAUGAGGUCCCCUGUUUUUUCGUCGCACGACCCACCAUGCGCAAGGAACCAAUUUCUUGCUCUCCAUUCCCACUCAUCACGGAGUGGUUCAGGUACGAUGCCUUUAUCUAUCAGAUCUUGCUCUUUCUUUUCCCACUUUGGGAUCGCAGUCUCAUAGCCCCCUGGCCCCAGCUUGUGGUUAUAUAUCUUCUUGUCGGCAUUUAUCUUGUUCUUUUCUGAUAAUGCCUGGGCAUNNNNNNNNNNCCCUGGCCCCAGCUUGUGGUGAUAUUUCUUCUUGUCGGCAUUUAUCUUGUUCUUUUCUGAUAAUGCCUGGGCAUCUUCUCACUCCUUGUACUCUUGAAAUUCCUUCCAGUGAUUCGCAUGCUUGGCUAGAUACCCCUCGAAUACUGGCACUUUCUUUGUCGUCAGAUAGUUUUUCCAUAGCUUCUUCUUCCAGCUACGGAAUAGUUCGGCCAUCUUCUUUAGAGUCGACUGCUUGACUUUGGCCCUCAGUUUGUCUGCGGCGUCUUCAUUCUCACAUUCUGGCAGGUUGAAAUGUGACAUGAUAUCAUUCCAAAGACUAUCUUUGUACCUUUCGACGACAUAGUCACUAUCGGCUGCCCCUUUGCGCUUGUUCCACUCCCGAACGCUGAUCGGGACGUGAUACCUAACGAGAACUCCGCAUUGCUUCUUGAAUGUGUCAGCAUCAUUCUUAGGAAGCUUGGGUUCACCCGUAGGCAUUAUCAGCUCAAAGGUGUAAUGCGUCNNNNNNNNNNNNNNNNNNNNNNNNNNNNNNNNNNNNNNNNNNNNNNNNNNNNNNNNNNNNNNNNNNNNNNNNNNNNNNNNNNNNNNNNNNNNNNNNNNNNNNNNNNNNNNNNNNNNNNNNNNNNNNNNNNNNNNNNNNNNNNNNUGGAGGCCUAAGAGGGAGAAACAUUCGUCAAAUGAAUGUAUAUGUAUAGAAUAUAGAGCUAUCUCCAAUAUUUUUCACAUAUUACAAGUGAUUGUCGAACUUCAUAUGUAUACCUCGCCGGACUUUAUUAUUUCUUCACCGGCUUAUCCACCGGCUUCUUCAUCAGUGGAGCUAUCACCUUCUCCAUCAUUGGACCUAUCUCCUUUUUCUUCUUUUCUUCUCCUUUUUCUUCUUUUCUUCUCCUUUUUCUUCUUUUCUUCUCUUUUUCCUUCCUUUCUUCUCCUUUUUCUUCUUUUCUUCUCUUUUUCCUUCCUUUCUUCUCCUUUUUCUUCUUUUCUUCUCUUUUUUCUUCUUUGCUUGUGCUGGCCGGAGUGUUGGGGAGGAGGGGGCAUGGGGCUUACCGGCCGGAGGUGUCGACGGCGCGCGGCGAGGAGGACGGCGGCGCGCGGCGAGGAGGACGGGGCGACUCGCGGCGAGCAGGACGGCGGCGGCGAGUANNNNNNNNNNGCCCCAUCGGCUUCAUCUUCGUGUCGCUCGACCUCCAUUCCAUAUCCAUAGUCGUUUAGAUAUGACGUCGGAGAUUCAGCUGGUUCAACGUCGGGGCCGUCUUUGAUUAUAUCUUCGAGAAGUUCUUCCUCUUCGAGGUUCCUGAUAUGUGGAUCCAUAGUUCUGCAAAAAACGGACAUUUGAUUAACUAAUAAACUAACAAACUAUAUAAGAGGGGUUGGAAACUUCGAAGGCUCGUUUUAUAUAGGAGGACCUUUAGUCCCGGGUCUUGGCUAGAACCUAAACUCUAAAAUACCAGCCGGGCGGAGCCCAGUCCCGGACACUUAAGCAUAUACAAUAGCAAAAUUAAACUAGUUCUAUUAAUUUUCUUGCUAAAAAUAAACUAUUAACACUUAAGCAUAUACAAUAGAAAAAUUAAACUAUUAACAAUUAAGCAUAUACAAUAGCAAAAUUAAGCAAUAAUCUAAGAAACACUAUUAACACUUAAGCAUAUACACUAUACAAUAGCAAAAUUAAAUGACAAAAAAAAUAGUUCUUCUUCUUGUAACCCUAAACUAAUUUUUCCUCUUCUUCUAUUUGUCCUCUUCUUCUACUUCUUCUUCUACUUCUACUUCUCCUCUUCUUCUACUACUUCUCCUCUCCUCUUCUUCUAUUUUUCCUCUUCUUCUCCUCUCCUCCUCUUCUUAUUCUCCUUUUUCUUCUUUUCUUCUCCUCCUCUUCUUAUUCUCCUUUUUCUUCCUUUCUUCUCCUUUUUCUUCCUUUCUUCUAUUUUUCUUCCUUUCUUCUCCUUUUUCUUCCUUUCUUCUCCUUUUUCUUCUUUUCUUCUCCUUUUCCUUCCUUUCUUCUCCUUUUUCUUCUUUUCUUCUCUUUUUUAUUCCUUUCUUCUCCUUUUUCUUCCUUUCUUCUCCUUUUUCUUCUUUGCUUGUGCUGGCCGGAGUGUUGGGGAGGAGGGGGUGUGGGGCUUACCGGCCGGAGGUGUCGACGGCGUGCGGCGAGGAGGACGGCGGCGAGCGGCGAGGAGGACGGCGGCGCGCGGCGAGGAGGGCGGCGCGCGGCGAGCAGGACGANNNNNNNNNNNNNNNNNNNNNNNNNNNNNNNNNNNNNNNNNNNNNNNNNNNNNNNNNNNNNNNNNNNNNNNNNNNNNNNNNNNNNNNNNNNNNNNNNNNNCCCGAGUGCGACUUUUAGUGCACACUCGGAGAAAGUUAAUACUUAGGCGAUUCUNNNNNNNNNNGAGUGUAUCUGUAGGAUACACUCGAAGGCAAUUGAGUACUUAGGCGAUUCGUGAUCGCGGCUAAGUCUUCGAGUGCGACUGUAAGGUCGUGCUCAGAGCGAGUUUUUACUCAUGUAAUUGUUAGUGGUGUUGACAUCUACAUGAGCCUCAAUGAGGUUCUGCUACUCAUGUAAUUGUCAGUUGUCUUGACAUCUACAUGAGCCUCACUGAGGGUCUGUUGAGUCCCCAAGUUUAUCUGUAGGAUACACUCAAAGGCAAUUGAGUACUUAGGCGAUUCUGAUCGCGGCUAAGUCUUUGACUGCGACUGUAAGGUCGUGCUCGGAGCGAGUUGUUACUCAUGUAAUUGUCAGUGGUCUUGACAUCUACAUGAGCCUCAAUGAGGUUCUGCUACUCAUGGAAUUGUCAGUUGUCUUGACAUCUACAUGAGCCUCACUGAGGGUCUGUUGAGUCCCCNNNNNNNNNNNNNNNNNNNNNNNNNNNNNNNNNNNNNNNNNNNNNNNNNNNNNNNNNNNNNNNNNNNNNNNNNNNNNNNNNNNNNNNNNNNNNNNNNNNNAGUCUACACUUCUUAAUAUGUCCGAUAGAAAUAUUAAGAUUGAGGCUGAGAAGAAGGUGCAAACUCUUCUCACAGAGAGGAGAUGAAAUGGGCCCUUUGAGCAAAGGUGGCGAAGGUGGACCAUGGAGAUGAUAAAACACAAUUCUUUCACAUGAUUGGGAAUGGCAAACAUAGGAAGAAGAAAAUAAUUCUACUUGAACACGAUGAUGAUACAAUUGUAGGAAAUGAGAACCUAAAAUUGUACAUCUUCGAGUAUUAUAAGAAACUUUUUGGUGCACCCGAAGAGAAUUUUGUUUUUCUGGAUUAGAGCACAACAAGUGACAUUCCUCAACCCAGUUCAGAUGAGAACGAGAUUUUGUCAGCCCCAUUUACGGAUGAAGAGAUGUUUGACGCAAUAUCACAAAUGAAGCAAAAUAAGGCACCGGGACCAGAUGGGUUUCUGAUGGAAUUUUAUAAAAAGUGUUGGCAUAUUAUUAAAGAUGAUAUUUGCAUAUGUUCCAUGAUUUGUUUAAUGGGUAUUUACAUCUAUUCCACCUUAACUUUGGAAUAAUAAUGGUGUUUCUAAAGAAGGUGGAGGCUAUUCGCAUUGAGAAGAUCAGGCUGACUGCUCAAUGCCAGCUUCAAAAAAUUUACAAAGGUUGGCACGAAUAGGUUGACAAAGAUAGCCCAUUCCGUAGUCCAAUCGACCGAGACAACUUUCAUGCAUGGAAGACAUAUCCUAGAAGGGUUCAUUGUUUUGCAUGAAAAGUUGCAUGAAAUACAUAAAAAGAAACUUGAUGGGCUUAUCUUUAAAGUGGAUCUCAAGAAGGCGUACGAUAAGGUCAAAUGGCCAUUUCUUCAACAAGCCUUGUGUAUGAAGGGAUUCAACGAAUCCUAGAGGGAUCAUGUGGGUGCUUUCAUUUAGAAAGGUAGAGUUGGGAUUAAAAUUAAUGAUGACAUAGCUCAUUAUUUUUAGACUCAUAAGGGAUUGAGGCACGGAGAUUUCAUGUCUCCCUUGUUGUUCAACAUAGUAGCAGAUAUGUUGGCACUCCUUAUUGAUCGGGCUAAAGAGAAUGGCCAAGUAGGAGGACUUCCUUGGGGAACGUCGCAUGGGAAACAAAAAAUUUCCUACGCGCACUAAUACGUCCAUUUUGCAUCAUUCUUUCAUGUUGAUAUUUAUUGUUUUUUCGGAUUUUAUAUUACUUCUGGUAGCAUAUUUAUGCCUCUUCUCUCUUAUUUUGCAAGGCUUAUUUGAAGAGGGAGAAUUCAGGCAGCUGGAAUUCAGGACUGGAAAAGGAGCAAAUCCUAGUCCACUAUUCUGCACAUCUCCAAAUACCCUGAAAAUUUACGUGGAUUUUUUCUGGAAUAUAUUAAAAAUACUGGGCGAAAGAACUACCGGAGGGGUCCACCAGGGCCCCACAAGCCCCCACUCCGCCACCAACCCCCCUGGUGGCGGUGGGCAAGCUUGUGUGCUGCCUGAAGGCCCACUAGCCCCCCUCUUUUGCUAUGUGAAGCGUCCUGACCUGGGAAAAAUCAUACGGGAGCUUUUUCGUGGUUUCGCCGUCGCCACGAGGCGGAACUUGAGCACAUCCAAUCUAGAGCUCCGGUAGGACGAUCCCGCCAGGGAAAUUUCCCUCCCGGAGGGGGGGAAUCGUCGCCAUCGUCAUCACCAACACUCCUCUCGUCGGAGGGGAGUCAUCUUCAUCAACAUGUUCAUCAGCACCAUCUCCUCUCCAAUCCCUAGUUCAUCUCUUGUAAUCAAUCUUCGUCUCGCGACUCCGAUUGGUACUUUUAAGGUUGCUAGUAGUGUUGAUUACUCUUUGUAGUUGAUGCUUGUUGGAUUACUUGGUGGAAGAGUUGAUGUUCAUAUCCUUGAUGCUAUUCAUUACACCUCUGGUCAUGAUUAUGAUUAUGUCUUGUGAGUAGAUACUUUUGUUCGUGAGGACAUGGGAUAAGUCAUGCUGAUAAUAGUCAUGUGAAUUUGAUAUUCGUUCGGUAUUAUGAUAUGAUGUAUGUUGUUUUCCCUCUAGUGGUGUUAUGUGAACGUCGACUACAUAACACUUCACCAUGUUUGGGCCUAGAGGAAGGCAUUGGGAAGUAGUAAGUAGAUGAUGGGUUGCUGGAGUGACACAAGCUUAAACCCCAGUUUAUGCGUUGCUUCGUGAGGGGCUGAUUUGGAUCCACUAGUUUAAUGCUAUGGUUAGACUUUGUCUUAAUUCUUCUUUUGUAGUUGCGGAUGCUUGCGAGAGAGGUUAAUCAUAAGUGGAUGCUUUUCCAAGUAAGGGCAGUACCCAAGCGCCGGUCCACCCACAUAUCAAACUAUCAAAGUAACGAACGUGAAUCAUAUGAACAUGAUGAAACUAGCAUGACAGAAAUUCCCGUGUGUCCUCGGGAGCGUUUUUCCUCCUAUAAGACUUUGUUCAGGCUUGUCCCUUGCUACAAAAGGGAUUGGGACACUUGCUGCACUGUUUCUACUACUUGUUACUUGUUACUCUUUGCUUGCUACGUUUCACCUCGCUACACAAUCACCUAUUACCGCUACUUUCAGUGCUUGCAGUUAUUACCUUGCUGAAAUCCGUUUAUCACAGCCUUCUGCUCCUCGUUGGGUUCGACACUCAUACUUAUCGAAAGGACUAUGAUUGAUCCCCUAUACUUGUGGGUCAUCAAGACUCUUUUCUGGCGCCGUUGCCGGGGAGUGAAGCGCCUUUGGUAACUGGAAAUUGGUAAGGAAACAUUUAUAUACUAUGCUGAAAUUUAUUGUCACUUGUCACUAUGGAAACUCUUCCUUUGAGGAGUUUGUUCGGGGUAUAUUCACCACGAACGGAAGCACGAGGAGUUGCUCCUCAACCUGAGGUACCUACUGAAAAUAUCUUUUAUGAAAUUGCUUUGGGUAUGCUUGAGAAACUGCUGGCUAAUCCUUUCACAGGAGAUGGAUCUUCACAUCCAGACUUUCAUCUAAUCUAUGUAGAUGAAGUUUGUGGUUUAUUUAAGCUUGCAGGUUUGCCCGAGGAUGAGGUAAAUAAGAAAGUCUUUCCUUUAUCUUUGAAGGAUAAGGAGUUGACAUGGUAUAGGCUAUGUGAUGAUGAUGGAUCAUGGGGCUACAAUCGGUUGAAAUUGGAAUUUCAUCAAAAGUUCUAUCCUAUGCAUUUAGUACAUCGUGAUCGGAACUUUAUUUAUAACUUUUGGCCUCGUGACAGGGAAAGCAUAGCUCAAGCUUGGGGAGGCUUAAAUCAAUGAUAUAUUCAUGCCCCAAUCAUGAGCUCUCGAGAGAAAUCAUCACUCAAAACUUUUAUGCUCGGCUUUCUCAUGAAGAUCGUACCAUGCUUGACACUUCUUGUGCCGAUUCUUUUAUGAAGAAGGAUAUUGAUCACAAGUGGAAUUUAUUGGAGAGAAUCAAACGCAACUCCGAAGAUUGGGAGUUGGAGGAAGGUAAGGACUCAGGUAUGAAUUUCCAGUUUGAUUGCGUUAAAUCUUUUGUUGAGACAAACACUUCUAGAGAUUUUAGCGCUAAGUAUGGACUUGACUCUGAGAUAGUAGCAUCUCUUUGUGAAUCUUUUGCUGCUCAUGUUGAACUUCCCAAAGAGAAGUGGCAUCCUCCUGUAGAAAGCAACAUAGCCUAAACCAAUCUAGUUGAGGAGAAAAUCAUAGCUUUUAGUGAUCCUGUUGUUCCUUGUGCUUACACUAAGAAACCACCAUCCCCUGCUAGAAUGAAGGAUUAUUCUAAAGCUCCAACUGUGAUAUGUAGGGGUUACAUUAGACCACUUGCACCCCCUGAGGAGAUUAGAGUUGAACCUAGUGUUGCUAUUAUCAAAGAUCUCUUAGCCGAAGACAUAGAUGGGCAUGUUAUUAAAUUCUGUGAGGACUCUGCUAGAAUUGCUAAACCUCACGCGAAAGACAAGCAUGGACCUGUAGUUGGCCUUCUCGUUGUUUCUGUUAAGAUAGGAGAUCACUGCUACCAUGGUUUAUGUGAUAUGGGAGCUAGUGUUAUUGCAAUACCCCGUUAUCUCUAUGAUGAAAUCAAAGAUGAGAUUGCACCUGCUGAGAUAGAAUCCAUUGAUGUCACUAUCACGCUAGCUAAUAGAGACACUAUCUGCCCUUUGGGAAUUGUGAGAGACGUAGAAGUCCUGUGUGGUAAGACGAAGUAUCCUACUGAUUUCCUCCUCCUCGGUACUGCACAAGAUAGCUUUUGUCCCAUCAUAUUUGGUAGACCCUUUCUCAACACUGUCAAUGCUCACAUUGAUUGCAUUAAGCAGACUGUCACAGUAAGUUUUGAGGGUGUGUCUCAUGAAUUUAACUUCUCCAAGUUUGGAAGACAACCCCAUGAAAGAGAGUCGUCUGGUAGAGAUGAAAUCAUUUCUCUUGCCUCUAUUGCCGUACCUCCUACGGAUCCUUUAGAGCAAUAUCUUGAGCAUGAAAAUGAUAUGCAUAUGGAGGAGAGAGAUGAGAUAGAUAGAAUUGUCUUAGAACAACAUCCUAUUCUCAAGAAUAAUCUGCCUGUUGAACUGCUUGGGGAUCCUCCCCCACCUAAGGGUGAUCCUGUGUUCGAGCUUAAAUAGUUGCCUGAUACUCUUAAGUAUGCCUAUCUUGAUGAGAAGGAUAUAUAUCCUGUCAUUAUCAGUGCCCUCCUCUCAGAGCUCGAAGAGAAGAAGUUACUAAAAACUCUGAGGAAGCACCGCGCUGCUAUUGGAUAUACUCUUGAUGAUCUUAAUUAAGGGUAUUAGUCCUACUCUAUGUCAGCACAAGAUUAAAACCGAUCCUGACUUUAAACCAGUUGCUGAUCAUCAAAGGAGAUUGAAUCCUAAGAUGAAAGAGGUCGUUAGAAAAGAAAUAUUAAAGCUUCUGGAAGCAGGAAUCAUUUAUCCUGUUGCUCAUAGUGAUUGGUAAGUCCAGUACAUUGCGUACCUAAGAAGGGAGGUAUCACCGUCGUUCCUAAUGAUAAGGAUGAACUAAUCCCACAAAGGAUUAUUACCGGCUAUAGAAUGGUGAUAGACUUCCGGAAACUGAACAAGGCAACCAGGAAAGAUCAUUAUCCUUUGUCGUUCAUCGACCAAAUGCUAGAAAGGCUAUCAAAACACACACACUUCUGCUUUCUAGACGGUUAUUCAGGUUUCUCGUAGAUACUUGUUGCACAAUCUGAUCAAGAGUAAACCACUUUCACCUGCCCUUUCGGUACCUUUGCCUAUAGACGUAUGCCUUUUGGCUUAUGCAAUGCACCCGCCACCUUCCAAAGAUGUAUGAUGGCUAUAUUCUCUGACUUCUGUGAAAAGAUUGUCGAGGUUUUCAUGGAUUACUUCUCCGUUUAUGGGUCUUCCUUUGAUGAUUGCCUCAGCAACCUUGAUGGAGUCUUACAGAGAUGCGAAGAAACCAACCUCGUCUUGAAUUGGGAGAAGUGCCACUUUAUGGUUAAUGAAGGUAUCGUCUUAGGACACAAAAUCUCUGAAAGAGGCAUUGAAGUUGAUAAGGCUAAGGUUGAUGCAAUUGAUAAAAUGCCUUGCCCCACAGAUAUCAGAGGUAUACGAAGUUUCCUAGGUCAUGCUGGUUUGUAUAGAAGGUUCAUUAAAGACUUAUCUAAGAUUUCUAGGCCUCUUACCAACCUCUUGCAGAAGGAUGUUCCUUUUGUUUUUGAUGAGGAUUGUGAGGAAGCCUUCGAAAUACUUAAGAAGGCUUUGAUAACCGCACCUAUUGUUCAACCACCUGACUGGAACUUGCCCUUUGAAAUCAUGUGUGUCGCUAGUGAUUACGCUGUUGGUGCUGUUCUAGGACAAAGAGUUGACAAGAAGUUGAAUGUCAUUCACUACGCUAGUAAAACUCUAGACAGUGCCCAAAGAAACUAUGUCACUAUGGAGAAGAAAUUUUUAGUAGUCGUGUUUGCAUGUGAAAAAACAGAUCUUACAUAGUUGACUCCAAAGUCACUAUUCACUCUGAUCAGUCUGCUAUUAAGUACCUUAUGCAGAAGAAGGAUGCUAAGCCUAGGCUGAUCAGAUGGGUUCUCCUGCUACAGGAAUUUGAUUUGCACGUCGUUGACCGAAAAGGUGCUGACAAUCCUAUAGCAGAUAACUUGUCUAGACUAGAGAAUGUCCGUGAUGACCCACUACCAAUUGAUGACAGCUUUCCUGAUGAGCAAUUAAAUGUCAUCCGCACUUCACUUAGUGCACCGUGGUAUGCCGAUUAUGCAAACUAUAUCGUAGCCAAAUACAUACCACCCAGUUUCACCUAUGAACAAAAGAGGAAAUUCUUCGUUGAUUUGAGACACUACUUCUGGGAUGAUCCUCACCUUUAUAAGGAAGGAGUAGAUGGUGUUAUUAGACGUUGUGUGCCUGAACAUGAACAGGGACAGAUCCUGCAGAAGUGUCAUUCCGAAGCCUACGGAGGACACCAUGCUGGAGAUAGAAUUGCCCAUAAGGUAUUGCAAUCAGGUUUCUAUUGGCCCACUCUCUUCAAGGAUGCCCGUAAGUUUGUCUUUUCUUGUGACGAAUGCCUAAGGAUAGGGAACAUCAGUAAGCGUCAAGAGAUGCCUAUGAACUAUUCACUUGUCAUUGAACCAUUUGAUGUCUGGGGCUUUGAUUAUAUGGGACCCUUCCCGAGUUCCGAUGGGUACACUCACAUCUUAGUUGCUGUGGAUUACGUUACUAAGUGGGUAGAAGCUAUCCCCACUAAAAAUGCUGAUCACCACACCUCUAUUAAGAUGCUUAAAGAAGUCAUAUUCCCAAGAUUUGGAGUCCCUAGAUACUUGAUGACUGAUUGCGAUUCACACUUCAUUCAUGGUGUUUUCCGCAAGAUGCUAGCUAAGUAUGAUGUCAACCAUAGAGUUGCAUCUCCUUAUCAUCCUCAGUCUAGUGGUCAAGUGGAGUUGAGUAAUAGGGAGAUCAAAUUGAUCCUACAAAAGACCGUCAAUAGAUCUCGAAAGAACUGGUCAAGCAAACUUGACGAUGCACUAUGGGCUUAUAGGACUGCUUAUAAGAAUUCCAUGGGCAUGUCACCGUAUAAAAUGGUUUACGGUAAAGUCUAUCAUUUACCUCUUGAGCUGGAACACAAAGCUUAUUGGGCAAUCAAAGAGCUCAACUUUGAUUUCAAACUUGCUGGUGAGAAGCGGUUGUUUGAUAUCAGCUCGUUGGAUGAAUGGAGAGCCCAGGCAUAUGAGAAUGCCAGGUUGUUCAAGGAAAAGGUUAAGAGAUGGCACGACAAACGAAUACAGAAACGAGAGUUCAAUGUAGGUGAUUAUGUCUUGCUAUACAAUUCUCGUUUGAGAUUCUUUGCACGCUAGCUUCUCUCUAAAUGGGAAGGUUCCUAUGUUGUCGAGGAAGUAUAUCGUUCCGGUGCCAUCAAAAUCAAUAACACGGAAGGAAAUUUUCCUAGAGUGGUAAAUGGGCAAAGAAUCAAGCAUUACAUCUCUGGUACUCCCAUAAAUGUUGAGACCAAUAUCAUCAAUGUCAUAACUCCAGAGGAGUACAUAAGGGAUGUUUAUCAGCCUGUUUCAGACCUUGAAAACGAAGAUGUAUCUGUUUCGGCAAGAAAUUGGACUCCGAUAUUUUGUACGCAAGUAUGCAUGAUUGAAUGAAUCAUGAUACGAUCAACGUAUUUUGGCAUUCACUUUCUACAUCUUGUUUUUGUUCUUUUUUUCUUGUUUCUAUCAUUGUGGCACUCGGAUGGAUGGCGACGCUUCUUUUUUGAGUUCAUCUUCCAGGCUUCGAUUCUCAUUAAGUCUGUCCGUCUGGACAUAGUCGACGGAGCUACUGCGUAGAAUCAUGUUGUCUUCUUCUCGUGACGAGGUUAUGGUUUCUCGUCAUAUGACGAGAUUUGGUGUCAUUGCUUCAGAUCAAUGAAAUGGUUCUAUAGCGACGACUACGGUCCCAGGGUUUGGUCCUUACGUGCAUCUGGAGGAAGAUAUCUCGGAUGUCAUCGUCAGUGUCAAGUUGGCUCCGGUAGGGGAGCGGUGACAGCGAUGCAUCGUCGACACGUUCUAUCAGUUAAGUGGUUAUUCGGUGGUUUCGGAAUCUCAUUCUAAUUUUUAUUAUGUUUGAGAUGCUUUGUAUUUUCGAUGAACGUUUAUAAAAGAUCUGAUACUUUGCUUAAAAAUGAAUGAAAAAUGAUCCUUCCCCAUCGACUCUACUUCCGCUGCGCUACGAGUCGGUAAUGAUCAGAUAAAACCCUGUAUGCAUCUCCUUAGUGGUCCUGGGCGUGCUCGUAGUACCGAAAUUUUUUGUUUUCUAUCGCGUUCCUCUACAGUGGAAUCAUGAGCUAAGCUAUGGGUAGAUGGAGGUUAUGAUCUAGAAUACAUGAGAUGUAUGGGUAUAGCAUAGUAUAAUUUUGUAGUAGAUGAGAUCUAUUGCUGAAAAUUAUAUGUGCGGGUAGUAGAUGAAAUCUAUUACCCAAUAUUCUUGUUGCUUCGCGUGAAUUUGUGUGGUCCUGAUCCUGACGGCAUGGUGGAAUCUUACAAAGUUUUGGCAAUCCGCGAUCCUUUCAUGCUGCUCUUGAGUAUGUUGAUUGAUAGAUCACCGAAGUGCUUCAGUGCUUUUGGGUUCCACCAUAGUUGAGAAAGAUGGAUGUUUCGCAGACGAAAGGGAAAUGCAGAUAUGAUCUGCACGGGGGUCAUGCAUAUGACGAAGUUUAGUAUGGGGCUUGAGCUUUUAUUAUCUCGUGUUUCAUACACCUUGGAAAGUUAAUCUAGCAACUUGAAUUAUUAUACCUGAUGAUGAACGUUGGUAGCUGCAGUUUAAGUCAAAAACAUAGAAGCCAUGUAAAAAUAAAAUUUUGCAUUAACCAAUUAGAGGCGUCUAACUUGAUUUUACAGAAUGUGCAUGAGAUGUGGUAUAACAAUUCUCAUAUUCAACUUGAUUACGUAUGAGAUGACUAUAUAAUGUAAAUUAACAUGACCUGUGUGUCAUGAUUCUGCAUGAUGGCUGGAGCCAUAUGAUUGUCACUUUAAUGACAUGUGUUUCGACAUUAAGUAAUGCAUUUAUUUUACCAGCUAUAGAGAUAGCAAUAUUAUUUGAUGCGUCGAAAAGGUGGUGGCAAUAUUAUCUGAUGUGUACAUAUAUUUGUGCUAACCCUUUUCAAGUAUCCACACAACAUUUUUUUAUAAAUUGUGUACUUUUUCUUGGGUUUUAACUCAUCCUAAGUUGUUGUUCCCAUGAUCUUCGUGGGAAACCGUCUACUAUGUAGCUUCUCAUCCUGAAAAAAGGACCAGUUUUUGUAAGGUUGUUGUGUUCUUGGUUCUUUCACAAAAGUAUUGACUAGAUACUCUGCCUCUUUCUCUGAUAUCGGGCUUUCAACUCUCUAGUUAGGGUCAAAGGCUUAGAAUGUUACUCAUUAUGUAAACGAAUAUAAGACAGUUUAGAUCACUAUUAGCAUCUAAAAUGUUAAUAGUGACUCCCUAUAUAAACCAACAAAAGAACCCUUACGUUCUUUAUAUCAAGAUGGCAUUAGCAAUAGAACACUUACGUUACAAUGGGGCAGAAAAAUACCGCACAUCCUUAAUCCAAUAACCAUGACUCAAGGCUGCAUUCGGUCCACGUGGAUACCGUUUGUGUUGCGGCUUAUCCUCAUUACAACCCUUGCCGACAGUGGCCUCAGUCCUCAAACAACCACAACACGUUUGAAUGUGAUCAAUCCUAACGUGUAUUGCUCUCUCUCGGCAUCAAAUGAGAAAUCUUCUUUAUUUUCCCCUUGCAAGGUUUUGUCGAGGCUUGCUUGCGAGGCUAUAGAUGAUUUGUUUUGUCUCCAAUGUGGUUUUGCUAAGGUGCGAUUUCUAUUCCGUUACUACACUGUUUUCAAAGAAAGACGAACCGUGAGCUAUUGAUUAAGAUGGCAACCUAAAUAAUAUUUUAAAAGUGUUUAACAGGUAAAACAAAAUCACAUUCAGAUUCUAUAAUUCUUCUAAUUAAUCUUCAUCUAUAACAUGUCAAAAUUGAAGUUCGGGUUUAAAAGAUAUGGAUGUUCUUAAAAGUAUUUUAAUCAGCCCAUGGAGUUUGGGUUUAUUGAACAAAAUAUCGUUCUGAAAAACAUAGAAGAUUUUCUGGAGUCACUCAAAACAGGACAGUGGGUCGUUUAACCGAAAGGUUAAGAAGUUUUCAGUUAAAAAAAUAAAUAUUUUUUAUAUUCACUUAAAACCAGGACCGUGCGUUGAUUUCAUGAAACAAUAGGGUUUUUUCUUUGCAAAAGGCGCGACGGAUGGGUAGAAACAUUUCUCCUUUUAUUAGUAGGUAAAGACUAGUGAUCAAGAAUGUAUUAUACUCCCUUCAUUUCUAAAUAUAAGUGUUUUUAGAGAUUUCACUAAAAACUAUAUACGGAUGUAUAUAGACACAAUUUAGAUUGUAGAUUCAUUCAUUUUGCUUAAUAAUGGAGGAAGUAUUAGUUUACAGAUGUAGUGUCUUUAUGUGGCUAGCGAAAUACCAACAAUAUCUACAUGAUUAAAUGGAUGUGCCUAUAUGUGCAAUUCAGAGAGCUUGAGAGAGCAAGUUUUGGAUGAAUCCACCUUACUAUAUCCUAGUACAUCCAUCACACGUACAGCUAGCUAGGGAACCCUGACGCAAUGACGUGCAUAUAUAGAUAUGAGGCAACCCUGCCGACAUGGAAAACUAUAUGUCCAUGUGAACACUUGACUGGUCAUACUACACUACAAGAAAAUAGAAUAACCACACACGCAAUGUAUAUCAGAAUACCAGCACCGCGUAGACUUCACUAAUUGCAUGACAGGUCGAUCGACUUGCAUGUCCCAUGGAAAUGACUGGCCUAGGAUCACAGCAGUGGGGUGUCAGUUCGUAAAAUUUAACUUAAGUACCAUCUUAGUUUUAACAAAUAGUCCUAAAAUGGCACAAAGUUGUCAGAGAAUUAUAGCGAAUAUAGUAUAAAGUAGUUUGCAUUUUUUAGAGGAGUGCCACAGCCAUGGCAGUAUGGCACCUCAAGAUCUGCAGCUGUUUCGUGUAUUGGAGCUAAAUAAUGAGUGCAACAUUUCGGUGUCCUCUGCAUCCGGUUAGGAAAAAAAUCAUAAAAAACUUCAAAAAAUGCCAAUAAAAUCAAAAAAAAUCUCAUGGUAGAAAAGUUUUUGCGUGAGGUCCGCUCCAAUUUUUAGAUUAUUUGAACAUCUGAUAAGCUCUCAGCAAAAAAGAUAAAUUGGAUCAGAACAGUGUAUGAACCAUAACUUUUUUAUGAACCCUGAAUUUGUCUUUUUUUCUGAGAGAUGCUGAGAUGUUUAAAUGAUUUAAAAACUGAAGGGGCCUUUACCAUCAAAUUAUCUACAACGUAAAAAAAUCUAGUAUUUGUUUUGAUUUUAUUUUCUUCGGCGCGGGGUGCAGAUGAGCCUGGGCUCGGAAGUGGAUUAUCGCUAAAUAAUAUGUUGUUUUGUCAAAAGAAAGAUAGGACCCCCAGCCUCUGCAACCUCUGCAUUAUGAUGAUGCACACAACCAUAUUUAUUAAAGUUGAUGUAAGGGGCAGAGAACAAAAUUAUCAAUAAGUGUAGUACAUAACUAUUACAAGAUGUGAAUUUAACACUUAGGACUAAAUCGACUUCUUUCGCAAGACUUCAGUAAGGAAAAGACGCCCUCACAUCAUCGUCAUCACAUUCGACCGGAGACGUCUAGGACACGAAUUUCCAUCCUAGUAGCCCAACCAAGGCCGGGCGGGUCGCUGUUGGAUAUGAAUCCUGCAACUACCCUUGUUGGGCCAGUGGCUCCAGUCGAAGGCGCGAGAUGGCACAACUGCCCCGUCUACUUUAACGGGACCAUGAAGGCGCCUCAAAGCGCCAGCAUCACUCGCCAUGAGGAGCUCUCGAAGAUGGACUUGAGAGAAGGGGAGCGCUUACACGAUUUUGCUCAAGGAGAGGGGGAGCGCUUACACGAUUUUGCUCAAGGAGAGGGUGCAUCGUAAAAUCGCACGGUCUCCUAGAUUAGGGGGUAUUAACCUGGUCGGUCCACGCUCCUCGAAUUGGGCCGAUGGGCCAUCAUCCUACUCGAGGUGGACUCCGGAAGCUGCACAUUGGGUGUUAUCAAGGUUACAUCUGCCGAAGGCUUGACAUAUACUUCAAGACUCCUCCUCCCGCCUCUAUGUUAGGAUACCGACCUUGUAGCCCUAGAUAUCCUACGUAGGGUUUUACCUUCAUCAAGAGGGCUCGAACCUGGAUAAACAUCGUCUCCCUGUUCCUGUUAUCAUUUGUCCAACAUCAACAGCUUGGGGCCUCCUACCCCGAGGUCUACCGGUUUUCACACCCACUGUGUUCUCUCAAGAAAAAAAUGCUAUAUUUUUUUAACCGGUCUAACCCCCUUUCCAUUACUUGAAUAACGAAAUACAUCAGAUCCUAGAGUUCAACAGGAGGAGGGAAAGGAGAUAGAGCGAGUUCAACCAUUGCUAGGAAACCCACUGUGACCGCUCGUCAUCGAAUCGAUCACUGCGAGACGAAAACCUAGCUACAAUAUCCUAGCGGGAGAAGUAUCAUUCCUAUUACAACCUAGGAAUAAUAGGUACAAAAGAGAUAAUAGACUAAACAGUUUUUAAGUAUGUCAGAACACCACAAAAAGACUGCCAGCAGCCACCCUUGCAAAAGUGCAUCGUCCCCAUACCUCCGCUGUUCAUCCACGGCCAGCAUUGCACAGCCUCAUCAGUGACACAGUCCCCGCCCGAACAACUUCAGUUCCGGUUCGCAUCCUCUUCAUGUCGCCUGCUGGCUGCAAACCUGCCCAAUAAAGAAGGAAAGAGCAAUCAGUAAACACAAUCUCAAAUGAAGAUUUGAUCGGUUUUUUCUCCAAGGUAGGUGGAUUCCGAGCUAACCAAAUAGCCCAGGUAAUUGCAGCCAAGCCCACCGUAUAGAAUUUAUCAUCUCCAGGCAUGAAACAAUGGGACCAGGCAAAGUAUUGUCAGUGGUUGUUGGGUCCAAAAUAUGUCCCCAAACAAACCCCAGCCGAACGCCAUAACGCCAUAACUCUACAAAAAAGUGAUAUAAUGUGUAACUAUUUUGUUCAAGUCGAGCAGAUGGACUCUAUCUUGCACCAUAGCGUUUAAGCAGUAUUGAAAUUAGGUCCGCCUAUACAUCAAGUAUCUUGGGAAAAAAAACUGCAUCGAUCAAUUUUCCCAGCAGUUGGAUGGCACGAUCGUGGCACCACCUAUUAUCGUUUUCGCCCCUCACAUCGUACCUCCGUUCGGCCUCGCACAAAACAAAUUGUGUCUGACGCAAAGAAAAAAUGUAGGUACCUGAUGUUUAUCUAAACAAAUUGUGUGUUGGAUUAACUACUUAUUAUACAACAAGCUGAAGGUAUGUGUCCAGCCGUGCCAACGAGCCCGUACGGAAGAUAUAAUAGACACAUGAAAUCAAAGACAUACAGCUCGGAUAUGCGUCUCCCGUGAACGUGAUGAUCAGGGUAAGCCAGCUCCUAGAGCUGCCNNNNNNNNNNACAGAUGGACUCUAUCUUGCACCACAGCGUUUAAGCAGUAUUGAAAUUAGGUCGAGCAUAUGGUUUUCGCCCCUCACAUCGUACCUUCGUUCGGCCUCGCACAAAACAAAUUGUGACUGACGCAAAAAAAAAAUUCAGGUACCUGAUGUUUAUCAAAUGUGUGGAAUUCUUCGUCGGCACAACCAAUGGCGUCCUGGAUUAACUAAUUAUUAUACAACAAGCUGAAGGUAUGUGUCCAGCCGUGCCAACGAGCCCGUACGGAAGAUAUAAUGGACACAUGAAAUCAAAAAACCAUACAGCUCGUAUAUGUGUCUCCCGUGAACGUGAUGAUCAGGGUAAGCCAGCUCCGAGAGCUGCCAUGCCAGAUAUAUAUAUUCCUUUGUCCGAUGCGAUGCUCUAGAUUAUUUUGGCUCCACACUCGUAAAUCCAUCAAAUAUUUAUGUGCACUCUGCAGCAGACAACAUGCACAUAGGAGUACUCUUCUUGAAAANNNNNNNNNNUUUGAGAGCUCCCGUGAACCUUUGUCCGAUGUGAUGCUCUAAAUUAUUUUGGCUCCACACUCGUAAACCCAUCAAAUAUUUAUUUGCACUCUGCAGCAGACAACAUGCACAUAGGAGUACUCUUCUUGAAAACUAAAGGAAAGUCUCGUGGCACAGCUCUCAGGUUUUUGUUCAUUAGCGAACACAUUAAGCUCUAAUGAUGGAUGUCACACGUAACAUGCCAGUACAAUAAUGGUUGCACAUGAGUUUUGGAAAUUACCACGGCAACAGGCAAACUAACUACGUCGAUUGAUAAUGACAUGAACGAGGCACUUGCACNNNNNNNNNNCAAUGAUGGAUGUCACACACGUAACAUGCCAGUACAAUAAUGGUUGCACAUGAGUUUUGGAAAGUACCACGGCAACACGCAAACUAACUACGUCGAUUGAUAAUGACAUGAACGAGGCACUUGCACNNNNNNNNNNCUCGAUUGAUGAUGACAUGAAGGCACUUGCACACCACACCCGGUCUAUAAGUACCACCCCCAAACAACCCAAGAAAACCAUCCCAAGCUAGCAUACCCUACAAGCUUAAUUAGCCACAUACCAGCACAAACGAUCAGUAGCAAUNNNNNNNNNNUCUGUCCCAACAGCACUUGCACACCCCACCCGGUCUAUAAGUACCACCCCAAACAACCCAAGAAAACCAUCCCAAGCUAGCAUAGCCUACAAGCUUAAUUAGCCACAUACCAAAGGGCCUCCUGCCUGGGCUCACCGCACCGGCCACGUGGAGGCCCAUCUGUCCCGGUUUAUGCAAGAACCGAGACUAAAGGUUUAGGGCAUUAGUACCGACACUUUAGUCCCGGUUCAAAAAACGGGACAAAUGGCCCUCACGAACCGGGACAAUAGGUCCUUUUUCUACUAAUGGGAUAAGCUCUUUUGCAUUGUAGCUCGCUGGACGGUGUGGUUUAACUUUAGGUUUGUCCUUGUGAUGUUCGUGCUAUGCAUCAAGUGAUAGCUNNNNNNNNNNNNNNNNNNNNNNNNNNNNNNNNNNNNNNNNNNNNNNNNCUGGACACAUGGAAUCAAAACCGUACGAGACUCCUAUAUGUGUCUCCCGUGAACGUGAUGAUCAGGGUAAGCCAGCUCCUAGAGCUGCCAUGCCAGAUAUAUGUAUAUAUUCCUUUGUCCGAUCCGGUGCUCCAGAUUAUUAUGGCCACACUUGUAAGCCCAUCAAAUAUUUAUGUACACACAGCAGACAACAUGCAUAUAGGAGUANNNNNNNNNNAUGGACACAUGGAAUCAAAAUCGUACGACUCCUAUUUGUGUCUCCGUGAACGUGAUGAUCAGGGUAAGCCAGCUCCUAGAGCUGCCAUGCCAGAUAUAUCUAUUCCUUUGUCCGAUCCUGUGCUCCAGAUUAUUAUGGCCACACUUGUAAGCCAUCAAAUAUUUAUGUACACACAGCAGACAACAUGCAUAUAGGAGUACUCUUCUUGGAAACAAAAGGAAACUCUCAUGGCACAGCUCUCAAGUUUUUGUUCAUUAGCGAACAGAUUAAGCUCCAAUGAUGGAUGUCACACCCGUAACAUGCGAGUACAAUAAUGGUUGCACAUGAGUUUUGGAAAUUACCACGGCAAGAUUGAAACUAAUUACGUCGAUUGAUAAUGACAUGAACGAGGCAUUUGUUGGAAAUAAGUCGUGACGGAGCACGGUGCGACCGGCGUCGAUGCGUCGGGUCGGGUCCGUGACGGUGCGACCGACGUUGGUGCGUCGGGUCGGGUUCCGCAGGCUGGGUUACGACAACAUUGUGUGCAUGUACGUGUGGCGUGUGUGUAGUGCAGCGCAAAGCGUGCGUGGUCGCCAAGGCAGCUCGAGCUGGCCGUUAGCACGUUGUGCGCCUCGUGCGUGCUGGCCGGGCGGAUCGCUAGCUCUAGGUGCGUGCGUGCGUAGGAGACGUGGACGCUGCGUACCUGUAGGACUACAAAGCCGCGGACGCGAACAUGUAUUCAUCAGGGAAAGGAAGCAAAGUGGCUGUGUGUGCGGCCAGGCGUUAGUCGCCGGAAAAACUCCAGUGUGCAUUCUCCUUUCUUCUACCUCUGUCCAGUUGUGUGUGAGAGANNNNNNNNNNUCGAGUUCGUCGCUUGCCGCGCCGGGCAGGAGAACGAGAGGAAGAAGAAGAGAAAUGGAUGAUUUGGUUCGAAAUUUUCUAACUCCCGCUUAUACAGGUGGAUCUACAGUCCCGAUUCGUGGCUCGAUCCGGGACUAAAGAUCCUUUAGUCCCGGAUGGAGCCACGAACUGGGACUAAAGGCCCUUUUUCGGCUGACCAGAAGGCGGGAAGCAGGGGCCUUUAGUCCCGGGGCGUGGCUCGAACCGGGACUAAAGACCACUUUAGUCCCGGGUGGAGCCACGACCCGGGACUAAAGCCCCUUUUUCGGCUGACCAGAAGGCGGGAAGCAGGGGCCUUUAGUCCCGGGGCGUGGAAAGAACCGGGACUAAAGUUUUGCCUAUAUAAACCCUCGCCCCUGCCCACCAUAUCCCCUGUUUUUUGGUUGUUGAAGUGUGACCAUGCCAUGCUCUUGCCACUCUAGUUCAUGCACAUGACGUGUUCGAUGAAAUGCUCGAGCCACUCUACUUAAGCUUUCUCCUCUCCAAGCUCGACCUCCAAGCUCCAUUUUCCUUAAUAUUUGUCUAGGUUUGGCCGUGCACCAACUGCGAGCACCACCGUGGUGAGCCUCUUGUUCUUAUCUUCUUUUUAAAAUUAAAAAAAUCUUACUUGUAUGAAUUAUAUACAUACUUGUAUAAAUUACUCACUUUCAUUAUUUUUUGUUAUGAUAUAGUGCGAUGGUUUUGGUAUCCGCCUCCGUCGGCCCUCGUCCUGUCUAUGAUUCGGAUGUGGUAUAUAUUAUAUUUUAUAACUAUUUGUUUUAUUUAGUGUUUAUGACAAUUAUGACAUAUAUUUUUUAAUCUAGGAGGUAUGUGAACCGGAAAUUCCAACCCACAUAAAAAUUCUUGUCGAGAAGUUCAAUUUGGUUGAAAAAGAAAACAAAUACUUGAAGAAAAAAUUGAAAAUAAUUGAGGAUAAGAAUAUGGAACUGGAGUUGCAUGUCGCCGAUGUCAUCGAUGAUUGCAAGAUGAAGAUCGAUGCGAUGCGGUUGAAGAUGGAUGCAAUGCGCUUGAAGAUGGAUGAAAUGCGCUUGAAGAUUAGGAAUAUUAGAAAAUAUGCCAUUGAUAAGGAGGUUGGUAUCAUUAUGUUGUUGGGUCAAUUGUUACCUUAGUGCGAUUUUGAUCGCGUUUGUUGUUGCAUUUAAAUGUUUUACAUAGUUGUAUGUUGUUUCAUGAGAGAACUUUAUGUAUUUAUUUUUUGCAAUAAUAACAUUUGGUCACUACUGUUCUUUGGCUUUAAUGUGAUGAUGAACUUGUAUUAAUUUGGUCAUAUGUUUUGCAAUGGUUUUUUAAUAUAUUUGAUUUCAUAAUAGAGAUGAAUCGCCAAUGAUAAUAUUUAAUUUCAUAAUAUGGUUUUUUGAACUCCAUAAAAAGUUGAGAGGGCUACGACAAAAACUAGAUGCACUUCGUGUACAAAACGGACAAUCUCUCUCGAAGUAUCAGGGUUUCGAACGAGAACUUGUCUCUUACAAAGGGAUUUCAUUUUUGUGAACUUAUUUGAACUCCAUACUUUUUGGUGUGUUCAAAAUGCACCAUUCAAAGGCACAACACAAAAUUUCAACAAUUUCUGACUUCAUUUGGUAUAUUUCGUGGAUUUACUUAUUUGUUUUGAGCUAGUUGACCCUGAAAUUGAAAAGCACUACAAAUGAACUCUGAAAAUGUUGAAAGUUGGCAUGCUAUCAUCAUUUCACCCACAUAGCAUGUGCUAAAAAGUUGAGAGGGCUACGACAAAAACUGGAUGCACUUCGUGUACAAAACGGACAAUCUCUCUCGAAGUAUCAGGGUGUCGAACGAGAACUCAUCUCUUACAUGGAUAAUAUGAAAAUGAAAAGUGUUUGAAAUUUAGUACGUUCCAUACAUGCAUUACAUAAAAGGUUUAAUANNNNNNNNNNUUGGAUGCACUUCGUGUACAAAACGGACAAUCUCUCUCGAAGUAUGAGGGUUUCGAACGAGAACUCAUCUCUUACAUGGAUAAUAUGAAAAUGAAAAGUUUUUGAAAUUUAGUACGUUCCAUACAUGCAUUACAUAAAAGGUUUAAUACAUUAUUACAUUAUUGCACCAAUAUUCCUAUCUAUUAUUUCUGUUUUAUUCUGGGUCAUAGCCAUGGAGAAUCUUCAUCAUUCAUUAGGAUGCUUGGGUCAUUUUUCACUUUGAAGGGCGGAAUUUCAUGAAACUUAUUAUAAUCUUCUGNNNNNNNNNNCUUUUCUUCUGGGUCGUAGCCAUGGAGAAUCUUCAUCAUUCAGUAGGAUGCUUGGGUCAGUUUUCACUUUGAAGGGCGGAAUUUCAUGAAACUUAUUAUAAUCUUCUGACAUGUCUGUCUUGUCAUCUACUCCCACGAUGUUUCUUUUCCCUGAAAGAACCAUGUGGCGUUUUGGCUCAUCGGAUGAUAUCUUCUUUUGCUGAUUUCUUUUUCUCGUUAAUGUAGACAUGUCCUUCACAUAGAAAACCUGAGCGACAUCAUUGGCUAGGACAAAUGGUUCGUCCAUGUACGCAAGAUUGUUAAGAUCCACUGUUGUCAUGCCGUACUUUUGGUCUACAACUAACCCGCCUCCUCUCAGUUUCACCCAUUUGCACCGAAAUAAAGGAAUCAUAAAAGUAGGUCCAUAGUCAAGUUCCCAUAUCUCCUCUAUGUACCCGUAAUAUGUUUCCAAACAGUGCCCAUUCUCGUCUGUUGCAUCAAAGCAUACACCACUAUUUUGGUUGGUGCUCUUUUUAUCUUGGGCAACCGUGUAAAAUGUAUUCCCAUUUAUCUCAUACCCUUGCAAAGUACAUAUAGUCGAAGAUGGUGGCCUGGCCAAACAGUACAGCUCAUCUCCAACGGUGUCGUCAUUCAGGAGAUGUGUCUGCAACCAACUNNNNNNNNNNGAAAGUACAUAUAGUCGAAGAUGGUGGCCUGGCCAAACAAACAACUCAUCUCCAACGGUGUCGUCAUUCAGGAGAUGUGUCUGCAACCAACUGCCGAAAGUCUUCUCGUGUUCCCCUUUAAUCCAAGAGUCAGCCUUCCCCGGGUUUUCGGAGCGUAGAAUAUUCUUGUGUCUCACGAUAUACGGAGCCACCAUGGUGGAAUUGUGUAGAACUGUGUAGUGUGCUUGAGAGAAAGAAUGCUCGUCCAUACAUACUUUUGCUUUCCUUCCUAGUGUGCCUUUUCCUGUCAGCCUACCCUCAUACCGAGAUUCAGGAACACCAAUCGGCUUAAGGUCAGGAAGAAAGUCCACACAAAACUCAAUGACCUCCUCUGUUCCAUAGCCCUUGGAGAUGCUUCCUUCUGGCCUAGCACGGUUACGAACAUAUUUCUUUAAGACUUCCAUGGACCUCUCGAAGGGGAACAUAUUGUGUAGAAACACAGGACCGAGAAUUCUAAUCUCUUCGACUAGGUGAACUAGGAGGUGUGUCAUUAUAUUGAAGAAGGAUGGCGGGAACAACAACUCAAAGCUGACCAGACAUUGGACCACAUCAAUCUGUAACCCUGAUAGACUUUCUCGAUCGAUUACCUUCUGAGAAAUUGCAUUGAGGAAUGCACAUACCUUCACAAUUGCCAGGCGAACAUUUUCCGGUAGAAUUCCCCUCAAUGCAACCGGAAGCAAUUGCGUCAUAAGCAUGUGGCAGUCAUGAGACUUUAGGUCUUGGAAUUUUUUGUCUUUCAUAUUUAUGAUUCCCUUUAUAUUCGACGAGAAGUCAGUCAGGACCUUGAUACUGAAAAGGACUUCAAAGAAGAUUUCCUUCUCUUCCUUAGUAAGAGCGUAGCUGGCACGCCCUUGAAACUGCCCUGGAUGCAUGCCAUCUCUUCCUUUAUGACGUUCCUGGUCCUCCCGUGCUUCCGGUGUAUCUUUUGACUUCCCAUACAAGCCCAGGAAGCCUUGAAUAUUCACGCAGAGAUUCUUCGUCAGGUGCAUCACGUCGAUUGCCGAGCGGACCUCAUGGACUUCCCAGUAGGGUAGCUCCCAAAAUAUAGAUUUCUUCUUCCACAUGGGUACGCGCUUAUCAGGGCCGUUAGGAACAGGUUGGCUGCCAGGACCCUUUCCAAAGAUUACUUUUAAAUCUUUGACCAUAUCAAAUACUUCAGCACCAGUACGGAUGACAGGCUUCCCCCGGGGUUCUGCCUUGCCAUUGAAAUGNNNNNNNNNNAGACCCUUUCCAAAGGUUACUUUUAAAUCUUUGACCAUAUCAAAUACUUCAGCACGAGUACGGAUGACAGGCUUCCCCCGGGGUUCUGCCUUGCCAUUGAAAUGCUUGACUUUUUUCUUUAAGGGAUGCUUGGGCGGAAGAAAACAACGAUUGUACGGAUACACAUUCUUCCUACAGUUGUCGAGAUAUAUACUUUCUGUCUGAUCCAAACAGUGCGUGCAUGCAUUGUAUCCCUUGUUUAACUGUCCUGAAAUGUUACUAAGAGCAGGCCAAUCAUUGAUGGUUACGAAAAGCAACUCUCGAAGGUCAAAUUCCUCUUGUUUGUGCUCGUCCCACACACGUACACCUGGUUCGGCCCACAGCUGUAAAAGUUGAUCAACUAAUGGCCUUAGGUACACAUCAAUAUCGUUGCCGGGUUGCUUUAGACCUUGUAUAAGCACUGGCAUCAUAAUAAACUUCCGCUUCAUGCACAACCAAGGAGGAAGGUUGUAGAUACAUAGAGUAAUGGACCAGGUGUUGUGACUGCAACUCUGCUCCCCAAAAGGAUUCAUGCCAUCUGUACUCAGACCUAACCAUAAGUUCCUUGCGUCUGCUGCAAAUCUCGGGAACUCUCUCUUGAUUUUUCUCCACUGCCGACCAUCAGCGGUGUGCCUCAACUUAUCGUCUUUCAUACAAUCUUCCAUGUGCCAUCGCAACAACUUCGCAUGAUCUUUAUUUCUGAACAGACGUUUCAACCGUGGUAUUAUAGGAGCAUACCACAUCCCCUGGCAGGAACCGUCUUCCUGGGUGGCUCGCCCUCAAUAUCACCAGGGUCAUCUUUUCUGAUCUUAUACCGCAAUGCAGUCUAUACCGGGCAUUUAUCCAUAUUCUCGUACUUCUCACCUCGGUAGAGGAUGCAUUCAUUAGGGCAUGCAUGUAUCUUCUGCACGUCUAAUCCUAGAGGGCAGACAAGCUUCUUUGCUUCGUACGUGCUGGCGGGCAAUUCGUUCUUUCUUGGAAGCAUCUUCUUCAUCAGUACCAGCAACUUUUCGAAUGACGAGUCAGUCACACCGGUCUCUGUCUUCCACUUCAGCAAUUCCAGUGUGCUACCCAGCUUCUUCUGGCCAUCUUCACAAGUUGGGUACAACAAUUUGUUGUGGUCCUGUAACAUCUGCUCGAACUGCAACCUCUCCUUUUCUAUGUCGCAACCUCGCCGUGCAUCAGAAAUGACCCGGCCAAGAUCAUCAGCGGGCUCAUCUGGUUCCCGUUCUUCAUCCUGAUCUUCUUCUUCAUUGUCUUGCAUUGCGGUAUCAGCAUACUCAGGGAACAUAGAUCGGUAGUUGUCAUCAUCGUUCUCUUCUUCUUCAUCGUCGCCUUCCAUCAUAACCCCUCUUUCUCCGUGCUUGGUCCAAACAUUAUAGCCCGACAUAAAACCGGACCGAAGCAGGUGGCUCUGAAUGACUCUUGAGGAAGUGUAAUCCUUCCAAUUCGACAUUCAACACAUGGACAAAACAUAUAGCCACCACCAUGCUUGUUCGCAUUGGCUGCAUCUCGAAAAGAAUGCACGCCUUCUCUGUAAGCGGCUGUGCGUCGAUCACCGUACAUCCAUGGAUGGCUCAUCUCUGCGUUAUACGACAGUAUAUCAAAUACAAUCACGAUCCUAAAAAUUAGUACCGCACGAUCUAAACGAGGAAAUAUAGUUGCUAACCUUUUAGAAUAAGUAGAAAUAAAGAGGAAGAGGUUUAAGCGUGGCUUGGGCAUCUCAUAUCGUAGUUGUAUUCGGUGAACUGAAGCGGCAUCGCUCUAACACACAUUUCAACAAACACCUCUAGUGCAUAAAAAAAAGUGGAGAGCAAGCACCCACCCACAAUCCUCCAUCCAAUAAAAAUGCAACGAAGAGGGGAGAGGGGGGCUGUGCUAUAUAUAGGCAGAGGACUUUAGUCCCGGUUUGAGACACAAACCGGGACUAAAGGUGGCGCACAUGCGGGCUGCCCACCGCGUAGCCCUUUACUCCCGGCUUGGGACACGAACCGGGACUAAAGGCUCCUUACGGGCCGGGACUAAAGCCUCGAGGGAGGAUAUGAGAAUUGGGGCGACGUAGCCGGGCCUUUAGUUCCGGCCCAGAGGCAGGCCGGGACUAAAGGGUACAGGCCAAAGGCCCGGUUUCUACUAGUGUAUGUGUCCAGCCCUGCCAACGAGCCAGUAUAAUACACCAGAGUACGAAAGAUAUAAUAUACACAUGAAAUCAAAACCAUACAGCUCUUAUAUGUGUCUCCCGUGACCGUGAUGAUCAGGGUAUGCCAGCCCCUAGAGCUUCCAUGCCAGAUAUAUUCCUUUGUCCGAUGCUAUGCUCCAGAUUAUUAUGGCCACACUUGUAAACCAAUCAAAUAUUUAUAUGCAAACAGCAGACAACAUGCAUAUAGGAGUAUCUUCUUGGAAACUAAAGGAAACUCUCAUGGCACAGCUCCCAGGAUUUUGUUCAUUAGUGAAGAGCAGAUUAAGCUCCAAUGAUGAAUGUCACACACGUAACAUGCCAGUACAAUAAUGGUUGCACAUGAGUUUUGGAAACUACCACGGCAAGAAUGAAACUAAUUACCUCGAUUGAUAAUGACAUGAACGAGGCACUUGCACACCACACCCGGUCUAUAAGUACCACCCCCAAACAACCCAAGAAAACCAUCCCAAGCUACCAUAGCCUACAAGCUUAAUUAGCCAUAUACCAGCACGAUCCAUCAGUAGCAAUGGCGCCUUCCAAGCUCGCCUUCUUCCUCGCUCUGAACCUGGUCCUCCUUGCCGCCGUGCAGGGCUGCGGUCCCUACUGCCCACCGGUCNNNNNNNNNNGGCGCCCUCCAAGCUCGCCCUCUUCCUCGCCCUGAACCUGGUCCUCCUUGCCGCUGUGCAGGGCUGCGGCCCCUACUGCCCACCGGUCGUCCCCACCCCGCCGAUCCUCCCACCACCCGUGCCGUCGACCGACGGAGGCAGCUGCUCGAUCAACACGCUGAAGCUGGGCGUGUGCACCAACGUGCUGAACCUGCUGAAGCUUAAGAUUGGCGUGCCGGCGAACGAACAGUGCUGCCCACUCCUGGGCGGGCUCGCCNNNNNNNNNNGCUGCUCGAUCAACACGUUGAAGCUGGGCGUGUGCGCCAACGUGCUGAACCUGCUGAAGCUCAAGAUCGGCGUGCCGGCGAACGAGCAGUGCUGCCCACUCCUGGGCGGGCUCGCCGACCUCGACGCCGCGGUGUGCCUCUGCACCGCCAUCAGGGCCAACAUCCUCGGCAUCAAGCUCAACGUCCCCAUCGACCUGACCCUCCUCCUCAACCAGUGCGGCAAGAAGUGCCCAACCAACUUCACCUGCCCCAUCUGAUGCAUCCAUCCAUUGCAUGGGCUCCCUCGCUCGUGCAUGCAUGCUUGAUAAGCUCGUGAUUGAUCAUCAGGGUCAUUGUAUCCCGUUAUGGUAUCUAAAUGCACGAUUUGCAUAUUUGUAAAAGGAUAUACAUACUUGUACACGCACCUUGGAAUAUAAAAUUUGUUCAAGUUGGGGUUUUCUCUCUUCCCUCUCGGCUGGAACCCUAGCCCUCCUCGUCAAGAGAAAAGAUCAUCCUAGUGUAUGUAGCUUAGUAAAUAUACCCUAGCCCUCCUCGGCACAAAAAAUCUUAUGUAACUUAGGAACAAGGCAGGAUCUAAGAAUCAUUUUUNNNNNNNNNNCAACACGUUGAAACUGGGCGUGUGCGCCAACGUGCUGAACCUGCUGAAGCUCACUCCUGGGCGGGCUCACCGACCUCGACGCUGCCGUGUGCCUCUGCACCGCCAUCAGGGCCAACAUCCUCGGCAUCAAGCUCAAUGUCCCCAUCGACCUCACCCUCCUACUCAACCAGUGCGGCAAGAAGUGCCCCGCCAACUUCACCUGCCCCAUCUGAUCCAUCUAUCCAUGGAUUUACUCGUAGCUAUAUAUUGCAUGUCAUACGCGCGCACCAUAUGUCAGGACUUUGCAUGGGCUCCCUCGCUCGUGCAUGCAUGCUUGAUAAGCUCGUGAUNNNNNNNNNNNNNNNNNNNNNNNNNNNNNNNNNNNNNNNNNNNNNNNNNNNNNNNNNNNNNNNNNNNNNNNNNNNNNNNNNNNNNNNNNNNNNNNNNNNNNNNNNNNNNNNNNNNNNNNNNNNNNNNNNNNNNNNNNNNNNNNNNNNNNNNNNNNNNNNNNCUACUUGUACACGUACCUUGGAAUAUAAAGUUUGUUCAAGUUGGGUUAACUCGACUCGUGAUAUGCCAGCUUGAGUUGUAUAUUCAUGCAUGAUUGCAUCAAUCAUGAUCAGAUCCACAUCUUUCCACAUGCAUUAGCUACAUCUUCUUUCUUUCUUUUUUGCCUAGAUGAUCGUUGCUAAAACUAAAUAUCAUGCUGAAGAUUUUCUUCUCUCCAAUGCCACCUUUUUACAUCUUGACGUUCUAGCUGAUCCAUAAAAAAUUCAAGGAUGCAUGCAUCGUACUCCUAUAUGGUAGAUGUCAUCUACCUUUGCGGCUUUUUUUAUGCAAUUGCACAUGCUCAUAGCUCACAUACACGUACAUACACUCACCUAUAUAAACUUAUGCACGCAUCCUAUAUCUACGAGCGCCUCCGAGAUAUUGAGUCACCACAACAUUUGAGAUUGACAAAGUCGUCAGAAACGUUUCAUGAUAGAUGGAAAUAUCUUCUUUCACUGAUCGAACAUCGCCAUGUGACAUUUGUGGUAAGCAGUUCAAACUUAUUAAGGAAAGAAUUGAAUAAAUCUAGAAAAUUUUGAGCAUUGGUGUCAAGUCUAACUGGUGGGCUGAUUCCACCGCAAGUAACCUAACUAUUUAUGCUAUGCUCAAUUCGCUACUUAAGUUAGCAUAAUAUAUUCUAUAGUGAAUAUGUACAAGUCAUCCAUUGUUGUAUCUUGUUGUGGCAUCUAACAGACUCACAUGUUCAUAGAAGGACACAAAGAAUAAUAAAAAGAGUGAAUUCUGGUUUUUACCCCCUAUUUUAACAUUUUUGACACUAGUUACCCGAU
This 49983-nucleotide long non-coding RNA is filed under the name Hordeum vulgare. Its description in RNAcentral is "long non-coding RNA (HVUL_LNC020462)". Lineage: Eukaryota; Viridiplantae; Streptophyta; Magnoliopsida; Poales; Poaceae. The record is from RNAcentral.